RNAcentral lists this long non-coding RNA (80905 nucleotides) under Cucumis sativus (cucumber). RNAcentral describes it as "long non-coding RNA (CSAT_LNC002699)". The record is from RNAcentral. Lineage: Eukaryota; Viridiplantae; Streptophyta; Magnoliopsida; Cucurbitales; Cucurbitaceae.
AAAAAUUUAUGCUUAAUUUUGUUAGGUAAAAAAAAAAAAAAAAAAAAGUUGAACUACGUUAUGACUUGAUCCCUAUAUUAUAAAGGGUACGUAGGCAGCUUAAGGAAAACCUUAAGCCCAGUCCAGCAAAAAAAAAGUUGAACUACGUUAUGACUUGAUCCCUAUAUUAUAAAGGGUACGUAGGCAGCUUAAGGAAAACCUUAAGCCCAGUCCAGCAAAAAAAGUUGAACUACGUUACGACUUGAUCCCUAUAUUAUAAAGGGUAUGUAGGCAGCUUAAAGGAAACUUUAAGUUCAGUCCAGUAAAAAAAAGGAAGAAAGACAAAUUACAUUUAAUAGAAAAUAUGAUGAGGAGUGGAACAAUGAAAGAAUAAAUUUUUUUUAUUUAUUAUAAACUUCUAGCAAAAAAAAAAAUUAAAAAGGCAUAAGUAGAUAAAUAAGAGAAAGCAGAGAAUCAUGGAGUCCAUUUAAAGUUCUUCAGCUCCUCUAGUGUGCUUUCUAAAGAUUCACGAAGUGUUGAUAGCAUUUUAGCAUCAAUAUCUCCAACGAUCGGGGCACAUUCGAGUUUGUCAAUUUCCUCACAAGUCUUCGAAAUCUCAUGUUGCUUCUGCUUCAGCUCCAGGUCGUUCUUAAAAAUUAUUCCAGAAAGUUUAGCAGACUCAGCCCGCACCAUCUUUAGUUUUGCCUCUAGUUUAGCCUCCUUGGCGGACAGUCGUGUAAGACGACGUUUAGCAGUGUUGGUCUCUGCCAAUAUACGAUUCUCAUCAACUCGCAGAGUCUUCACAAAACCUUUUGCCUCCGUUAGCUGAACAUCCUUAGUUGAUUGGAGUAGAAAUGAGGAAUGUAUUUGAUUAUGGUUCUCGACACCUUGGAAGUAACCAUUCACAAGCUCCCUCAAAACAAUAAGGUUGUCGCUGCCGCUAGUCGCAAUCGCAUCAAAGAUCUUAUGCAUUUCUGGUUCAAGACUACUCAGUCGUUCAAAAGGGGUACGAAUGAUCUUCUGUCGUAGGUUUUCCCAUAAGGUUAUGGCAGCCUGUCGUCGGAGGUCAGAAAUUAAGCUGUCAGCACAAAAAUGAGAAAUCUCAGAAACUGUAAUAGGCUCCGUGCCUUCCACUUUUUGAGGAGGUCCCUUGAUCACAGGAGGACAAGCAGACACAAUAUUUGCGCCUAUAGGUUCCUUAGAGUUCCCAUUAUAAGAAAGUACAACGUUACAGUCUUCUAGAUUCGGCAUCGACUCUAGGGUAUCUUCGAUGUGUAGGUCGUGAUCACCUAAAGAAGACUGCAAAAUAAUAUUAACAACAAGAAAUAAGAGAGUAAAGGAGAGAAAAUACAAUAAAUAAAUAAAUAAAAAGGGAGACGAAAAGAAACCAUGGGGGAAGGGACAUCGAAGAAUUGUGCAGCAUCAGGGACCCGAAUAGGAGACUCUUCAUCAUCGAUCGACUGUUUGUUGGCUUCUUGGUCUCUUCCAAUGGCGAUCAUCAUGCUGCUUUGACUGUCCUCAAUACGUUUAGAAGGAUGCUUGGUAGCUAUGAUAAGCUGGUUGUCCUUACCCACAUUGUCAAUACACCUUUAAUAAGAUGUUUAAAUCGUGUUAGAAAAGAGACAAUUAUCCACCAAGCGUUUUGUCCCUCCCUCAAUUUUCUCCACAAGUCGUUCAUCAGUUUCAUCGAGCAUAUCUUCUGAUUUCCACUACCAAAAUUAUGUUCAAUCUUUUUUGUGGUUUUGGAUUUGAUGUGAGGGGGAGUAGGACGAUCUAUCAAAUGUUGUACUCCUUCUUGGAGGUAAUCACCGUGUUUUUGCAAGCCACCGACCUUAUAAUGAGAGGUAACAUGUGUGUCUGGAUUAGGGGCGACACAGGAAGAUAUACUUGGGAAAGUGUAUUCUCGCGAAUACAAAUCAUCCAACAAUAUCGUACGUUAAAAAAAUUGGCUCGGGAAUUUCUUCACCUAAGUCAUAUGCACGUCUUGAUAAAAUCCAAAUUGUCGGCUAAAGCGACAAGGACUAUAAGGCUCAAUGUGGAGGAUCCACAUUGCGAGGAUAGAAAACAAGAGCGAAUGCUUAUGAAAAAUGAAGCAUUCCAACUAAUUAACUCUCCAUCAUCCGUUAAGAGUUCGUCCUUAUUCUUUGUUGGAAGACACGCAUGCCAUGACACAUACUUUUCCCUUGUGGAUAUGUGUUCGAGCCUCAAGAUUAGUAUAAUAUUUGGCCCCACCUUCACCAGAAAAUUCAACCAUGCGAGGACCCCUAAGACUCCUAGGGCUUUAUAAUGAGUGUUGAAGUAAAGAGCAAGCCACCCAUGGACAUAGUGAAGAGGAAAACAGGCAUUUGAAUAACCAAGUGAUGAAGUAGAAUCAUGAACUUGGCGUAGGCCACUAUAAUAUUAGCUAAAACAGGGACAACAAGGCUAAAUGUGUAGCCUUCCGCAUGAGGCUAGCAACCUUAAAAACCUCUGACGAAGGGAAAGUUGCUUAUCAGGGAACACAAAACACAUAGCCAACAAGAGAGAAUGCCGCUAGAUAGGUUUUGUCCCUAUGAUCAUCACGUGACGCUUAAGUCAAGGAACACUUUGAGUUCAGCUUUAGACCAGUCAGGACGUCUGAUGGGAAUUCCAUCUGGAUUAUGAGUUGAGCGAGGGCGAGAAGUCUUUUUAGGCUUUCGAGGAGCGGUUUCAAUACUUUACCUCAGAUCGUGUAACCCAAAAAGAGAUCCAUUCACUUACAGUGAUUUGAGAGUGAUCCAUGCGUUGAGAAAAGCUAAUAGGCUAAAAUAAAUGCUCACAACUUCUUGGACAUACAUCAGGUGAUCCUAUUAAGUCUUUGGCAAGGAAUGCUUUCUUCAUAAAAUCUACCUUUAAUCGGGAGUCCUCCUAGUAUCCAUAAGUCCAUAAGGAGAUGGACAUCUCACCAGCUGAGGUGUGAAGAGUGUUUGUUGAAGGACACCAUGCCUCGCAGAAAGCCCGAUCAAUGUCACUGUUGCGAUCAUAUGUAUAUAGGGAAGCCAUCACAGCAUUAAAUAGGGAGGCUCGCUUGAGUACUGCCGUAUUUCUAGCAACAACGAGCUCUAACCACUCCCAAUAAUGAGGAAGAUUGUAAAAUUCUCCAUGUACCUUGAGCACAUUUCCCCAACGAAUUUUUGGGUCGUUUAUAAUUCGACGACCCAACGUUGAUUCUGGAUCCUCAUUUGGAGGCUUGUUGUGAAUCGAAGACUCCAGAAACCAAGAUUUUAAAGAUGAAUUGGGAUUUACAAACCGUUCCUUGGACCAUUUAGGCAAAAAGAUAAAAUUGUCCUCGGGUAUUUGGGAGUCCAUAUAUUCUCAUAUGUCCCCUCUCUCACAGGAAGAAUGAUCCCUUCCUCUAAAGAUUGAUCUACGUCUUUCAGGAUAAUUAAACACCUUUUGGUCAGUCAGAAUACUCAGUGAAGUGCACCAUGAUGAAAAGUAGAGUUCCUGCAAAUAUAAUAAUAAUAAUAAUAAGAAUAGAAAAAAACCAAAACAAAAAAAAACAAAAGAAAAGAAAAAAAAGAAAGAAAGAAGAAAAAAAAGGGGGGGGGGGAAGAAAAAAAUGAAGAUUGAAGCCCGACGAUGACAAGAAUCGAUCUCUCCUACUAGGGCGAUAGAUCUGACGGCAAAAGCCGAUCGUCCCUAGAAGAAGCUCAACAAAGUCAUUUGCAAACGAAGAUCGAAGCCCGACGAUGACAGAGUCGAUCUCUCCUACUAGGGCGAUAGAUCUGACGGCAAAAGCCCGAUCGUCCCUAGAAGAAGCUCAACAAAGUCAUUUCUGCAAACGAAGAUCGAAGCCCGACGAUGACAGAGUCGAUCUCUCCUACUAGGGCGAUAGAUCUGACGGCAAAAGCCCGAUCGUCCCUAGAAGAAGCUCAACAAAGUCAUUUCUGCAAACGAAGAUCGAAGCCGACGAUGACAGAGUCGAUCUCUCCUACUAGGGCGAUAGAUCUGACGACAAAAGCCGAUCGUCCCUAGAAGAAGCUCAAAAGUCAUUCCUGCAAAAAAAAAAAAAAAAAAACAAAAAAAACAAAACAACACAAAAAAAACAAAACAAAACAAAACAGAAUUAAAAAAAGCAAAACAAAAAAAAAACACACACACAAAAAAAGAGAAAAAAGAGAAAGGGAGAAGAAAAGUUUUCUAUACCUUUCUGCUGAUUGGAUGAGGUAUAAGUGAGUAGGGUGUGAGUCUAUUUAUAAGUCCAACAAAUCCAAUUUUUAAAAGGAUUAGGAAUGAUAUUUAAUUAUUUUUUUUAAAAAAAAAACAAAUCCAAUUCCUAAAAGGAAUAGGAUUGAUUUUAAAUAUAUAUAUAUAUAUAUAAAGAAAAGAUAAUCCAAUUAUCUUAUUUUAUUUUAAAUUAUUUCUUUUUUUUUUGUUGGAUAAAUCUCAAGUUUAACUUUUAUUGAGAUAUUUAAAAUAUUUAAAAAUUUCAACAUUUAAAAAUAUAUAUAUAUAGAUAAAUAUUCUCAAUUUCAAAAUUCAAGUUAAAUUAACUUGCAUAUAUGACCUCAUUUUUAUCAUGAAUUUAAAUCGGAGCAUAAAUCCAACUUUACCUAAGAUUGAGGACCUGAUUUUUUAUCUCAAAUUAAAAUUGGUCAUUCCAAAUUCUUAUGCAUCCCCAAGAUAAAUUAAGGUACGGUAGAAACUUUAUCCUUAUUUCAAAAUUAAAAUUUUGGUUAUAUUCCAAAUUUUACUUAAAAAAAAUCAUCAUAUUAAAAAUUUUUUUUAUCCUCAAAUAAAAUUAAGUUAGGAAUAAAACUUUGAAUUUUUUUAAGGUUUGGCCAUAUUCCAACCCUUAUUUUAAAUUGAAAUCAAACUCACGUACUAAAUUCAAGUUUGAUUAAUUUGAUAUAUUGAAUUGAGUAAAAAAAAAAAAAAAAAAGAAGCUCGUACUUUGACUUCAAAUUUAUCUUUUCGAGAUUCAUUCACCCAUAUACGUGCAUAAAUCUCGAAAAGGGGGCAUUUGUUGAAUAAGAAAUUUUGAGACUAAUCACUAGUUGCCAUAUCAUUUAUUAAGUUAAUGAUGAAAAGUACAAAUAAUUAAAUUUGGGACUAAUUAAAAUUGACAUAUGCUCCAAAUUAAAGAGUUGAAAAUAAAUAAAAUGGUCAUUCUAAUAAUGCCACAUGUUUUCAUAUUAAUAGUUGGAUUAAGUUAAUCAUUUUAGUUCAAUUAAAUAUUAUUUACUUGGACUAAGUUCAAUUAAGCCCAAAAAAUAAGCUUAAUUGAACCCAAAGACUAAAUAUAACCUAAGUCCAUAUGGUUGAGCCCAUGGGUCUGGUCCAUGGACCAACCAGGUUCAAACCCAUAAAGCCCACCAGUGAAAUCUAUAAAUAGAGGAAUUCUCCUCAUUUGUAGGGGUUGGAAAUUUUGACUCUAGAAGAUCCAGAGAGAAUUCUUCAAAGAGCUAGAAGACUCCCUAACUCCUGAAGUCGACCAUCCUCGAAGAUUGAAGCUUCUUUAAAGAUACAAGCUUUCUUCAAGGCUUCAACUUCAAGAACAUCACGUGCUUCGCUUCCUCAAAUCAAGCUGAAGCAUCCAGUUGAGAGAGAAUCAGAGGAUCAAAUUCUAGAGAUUGAACCGCAUCGCAUCAAAUCAACAAAAUACAACAUCAAACUCAAGUUCAAGUCCACGAAUUAAAUUCUCCGAAAAUCUCGUGCGAACACAUAUAUUUCUAAAUAAAUUUAUUCGACGAAAGUGGCUAGAUUGGUGGGUUCGACGGCGAAGGCUUGUUGUGGCAGCAACGACAACAGUGGUUGGAGUGUGGAAUCGACGACGACAAGUGGCAAAAAAUUGGAAGGCAAGGGUUCUUCAUAACGACUCGGUAGCCCACUUCGUUCGACGAGAUUUUUUUGCAUUUUUGGUAGAGUGAGAAAAAAUUGCAUUAAGACUUCAUUCGACGACAUCGUUUUUGCUUAAGAGAAAAUUUGAUGUUUUUACUUAGUUGUAAUUGCGUGAGAGAGGGAAAUUAAAAAAUUUUGAAAUUUGAGGUUUUUUCAUUUGAAAUUUUUUUUAAUGACAAAAAAAUUGUCGUUAAUUAAUGACCCAAAAAUUGUGUGAAAUAAAUUAAAUUGUGUCAAUAGAAUUGUUUUAAGAAAUAAUCCAUAUUUUUAUUUUCAACAACACAUGUACCUCAUCCACCUCUUUUUUCUUUUAUUUUCAACGACACAAUGUCUUGAUUAAAAUCCAUUUUUCUAGUGACAAAUGUAUCCAUACCAAAGUGGGAAGCAGCUAAGGGGACGAAGGUAUAUUCGGAGAGAGAUUGUUAAACAAUUGUAAAAAGUAAGCCCAAGAAGAGAGGUCCAAUAAAAUUCAGCCACCUCUCACAUAGUAAUUGAAAUAGUCUAGCAAUUUCAACCAUUUCCCUCACAGAGAAGAAGAAGACCAUAGCCACUCGAGGCUUUUGCACAUACAAACACCAAGAAGAUGGUGUCCGGUUCCGUACCUGUGCUAAGCGCGUCGUUGUUGACAUAAAGUUUCUAUAUACAAAGCUAUGUAUCUCUACCCUUGACUUCUCUUUCUCUCUUUCUACCUUUUUUAUCCUUUCUUUCUCCCAUUCACUCAAUACACUUGCAAGAACCUUCAUUUUUUUUGUAUUUAAAUUUUCUUGGCACCAUCCUUUUUUAAUUAUCAAGGCUUUGUUAUUGUGUACCUGUAUUGUGUCGUGCCUCCUUCACUUCUCAUCAUCAUUUUCAUGUCACAUCUCUACCUUGUCAAUUUUCGUUUUUCACUCAGCUUUCUUUCUUCAUUUGUCUUCACUACUCUCUUCGCUCCUUCUUCUCAAGCUCUAACUUUUGCUAUUAUUAACCAGUCUCAAAUGACCAUUGGAAAACCUAUAGCCCACUGAGAGGCAGCCAAUAUAGUAAUGCCUCUAAUGAUAAACUCCAAUGAAAUCAAAAGUUCUUCUUUGAGAUUUGGAAAAAUAUAUUAGAUAAAGCAUAAUUAGUUGAAAAAGAACCUUAAAAUUUUGUGUUAAACGACUACAAUUUCAUCGUAGAAUAUGCCAUAUUGACAGCAUAUUUUUCCUACAAAAACAUAUUAACUAAAAUAAGCUCAUAAACACGAAAAUGCACUAAGUGUUGGUUAACAUACACUACCUUGAAAUAUGAUGAAGACUUUAUUUCUCCCAACCAGACAGCAUAAUCAGGAGGUAGUUUGGGAGCAAACAGAAUUGACUUAAUUUCCACUAGCAAUAUCCUAUAAAAAUUUCAAAUUCUUGAAAUAUGGAAACCAAUGGAAGUUUUAGGGAAUGAAGUAUAACCUCUAAAUACAGAAGGACGACAUAAAGGGGAAUGAAGACUCGAAAGAAGGACGACGUUUUCGUAGAGAAGGACGACAAUUUUGAGGGACAACGGACACGAUUUCAGAGUAUUAGGGAUGGUAGAUGGCGAAAGUCUUAGGGAUCUCGUACUCAGUGGAUGGUGAACGACUGAAAGCGAAGGACCUAGUACGCAUUUUUGGAGAGGGCGUGUGAACGCGGAUGGACGGACGGUGAACACGGCAGAAGUGAGAGAUCCUCAUAGAGAACUUGGCAUUUUCGAAUGCGGUAGAGACAAGUCUAGGGCUUCGAAGGAUUCAACCCAAUAUUUUCUUUAUAUAUAUAUAUAUAUAUAUAAUAUAUAUUUAAUAACACUUGACGUUUUUAAAACGUAAAGAAAAACGAUUUUACUUGACGUCUAAAAAACAUCAAGAAAUUUAAAAAAUAACUCUUCUCCGGCUUUUUAUAAAAAUUCUUGACGUUUUAAAACAUAAAGAAUUUUUAAGAUAUUUCUUGACGUUUUUAAAAUGUCAAGUAAAAGUACAUAUUACUUGACGUUUGAAAAUUUUGAAGAAUGUUGAAUAUAUAAACAUUCUUGACGUUUUUAAAACGUCAAGAAAAAAUACAUAUUAGUUGAUGUUUAAUAAACGUCAAGAAAUCUGAAAAUUGACCUACCCUCGCCUUUUCUAAAAAUUCUUGACGUUUUAUCUUUGGAACUACCCCUUUCUUGACGUUUUUUGAAAAAAAAUGUCAAGAAAGAAAAACAACAAACGUCAAGAAAGGCCUUUUUUGUAGUAAUGACAUACAAUAUAUAUAUAUACAUAAAUAAAUAAAUAAAUAUAUAUAUAUAUAUAAUGAAUUAAAAUGGUUUUGUUGCUUUACUGUUUUACUCUAUAAAGGAAGAGCAUUAUAAAUAUAUUAUUGAGGAAACAUCUUUCGAAAUGACUGGUUUUGGAAGUGUCAUUAGAUUUUUAGUUAGUUAAGCACAUUUUCCUCCCAAAUAGUAGUCGAAAUACAACUGUUUUUUAAGAAGAAGAAACCGAAUCCUUCAAACUAGGAUAAAAGUCAUUAUCUAUUAACAUAGAGUUAAAGUUACAAGGUUGAAGGCUAGAGGGAAGCCUGAAACAACCUAAUCUAACAAAGCUUAAAGUUAAGAGUUGGUAGUAACAUCAUAUUAGUUACAAGAUGAAUGACGCCUAGACCAAACUUCGAUCAAGUUACAUGUGUCUUCCCACAAGUUAACAAUAAACCUUGAUUUAUCCUUAAAAAUUCUAUUGUUUCUUUCUAUCCAAACAAUCCAAAGUAAGCCAGUUAUGGAGGAGGAAUACACAUUAGAGAGCUCAAUUAUGGAUGGAGGAAUACACAACUUUUUCUCGUGGUCAUUUUCCUCGUGGGCAUUCUCUUCAUGUUUCUUCUUAUUCCGACUAAAAUACAAGCACAAAUUAUUCUUCGCCUUCGUAUAGGUUUGUUUGAAGAAGAUUAAAAAAGUCCUUAAUUUAUCUCGACACUUCCAAAACCAGAAUAUAAUACCCGUGCUACAUAAAUCCCUCUUUCCAAAUAGUCGAACAUGAACUAUCCAUGCAUAUCUUGGAAUAAACAAGAGAAACCCUAACUAAACGCAAAUAGAAAAUACGUUGCAAUCUAAAAUAUAGUUAAAGAAACAAAAAGAAGUUUUAAUGUUGUGGGUUUUUUACUGAUCUUCUUCAACAACAAAAUAACUCAACGCCACAGUUCAAUUUUUCCUUCCACGAAUUGGGUUUUUAAAGAGUUUUCACCGCGAAUAAAUUUUUUUUGGUUCGACAAGUAACAACAUGUGAAUCCCCAAAUGCAAGGUUUUAUUAAAAAUUAAAAAUAUAAUUUUUUAAAAAAAUUAUAAUACCUAAAAAUAUAUUUUUUUUAUAUUUAUAACCUAAUUUUCUGUCAUUGCAUACUUGAGAGAAAUAUAUUUUUCAAUUAGCAUAAUAACCUUUAUAUAGUAAAUUAAAUUUGUAGAAUGAGAAAAGACCUUAGAUCCAAAAAAGUUAUUUAUUUAUUAUUGGAGUGAAUUGUAUAAUUAAUGUAGUUAAUGGAUGGUUUUGUAACCAUAAAAAAAUAAUGAAAAUAAUUUUCUAAAAGAAUGAAUGAAAAUUUGGAAAGUUAAAAGGUUUUAGGAAUUAAAAAAAAGGGUGUAACAUUAUAAAAGACUACCAAAUAUACUGUAAGAGACAUGCAUUAAAGGAGCUGAGUGUCACGUGUGAAAUUUUGACCCCAAAAAUCACCCCCAAAAUUGCGCUAAUUCAUGCCACGACUCCUUCAGCAAGGCCCAGGAGCAGCCCAACGUGGUCCUAAGACAGCCUAAGGGCGACCACGACAUGUGCCUACGGCAUUGGCAUGCACCUCUCGAGGACAGCUCACAAGCCCCGCACGCGUGCCACGACGAGUGCCCAUGACAGCCGAGUGUCAGCCCACGACACAGCCCCAUAGCACGCCAGAUGCCCGUUGACACGGCCAUAGGCGCCCGGCACCAGCGCCCACCAUCGACCCAGCGCGCGCCGUGUCCGCCCAACGUCCAGACGGCCCCAGAACCUCCGAGAAGCUUCCAGAAGAAUCGGGAAGGCGCGCAACACUUCGCGUGGCGCGCACGGCGCGAACCCAACGCGCGCGCCGACGCCCCCAGAUGCUUCCAGAAGGCUCCACACAUGCCCAUGUGUGUGCUGCCCGCCCAUGCUCAGUCUAGACAACCCCAGAAGCCUCUAGAACGUUCGAGACAGUGCCAGAAUGUGCUGGAAUGCGCGGAGGCUCCCGAGAAGGCCCCGGAACGUGCUGGAUGAUGCUGGAACGUGCUGGAACACUCUAGAAGGCUAUAUGACGGUCAGCGAGUGUCAUGAAAGGUCUAGUCCUCUCUAGAAUGUUCUAGGCUUCCUUGUUAUGUACCAAAUGAACUUGUAAUCUCUAGAAUCUCCCUUGGCCGACCUUCUAAGGCCCAAGGUCGGUGGGGAUGGUCUAUAAAUACUUGGGAGGGCCUCAUUUGUAUCAAGCCUUGCAACCUUGCAUCUUGGCAUGUCUUAGCCAAGCAAGGUCACCUUGCCACCCAAAGUCUCCUUGCCCAUGGUAUCCCCAUGACAAGAAGACAGCAUAUUUGUACCCAAAUAUGUAUUCAUCUAUUGUUGGAAUGCAAUGUAUCAUUCCAAAGACGUAUCCAUCCAAACUCCCUCAUCCUUCCAACCUCUCUCAUGUCUUGCAACCAACCUUAGUACUUCCGCUGCAACCGUUGUCGUAGUGCUUGGCACACUACCCCUUCCGGGAAAGGCUUACUUGGCUACGUGGGCAUUGUAGUUAGCCAAGUGCCGCAUGUAUGGUUAGCUUCAAGAUCCUAACCACGUGACAUGAGGCAUGCAUACUACCAAAUAUACUAUAAAUAAACCAUAAUUCUUUUUUAAGAAAUUAAACAACUAAUUAAAUAUAAAGAAGAAAGAUUAGAAAAUGAAUGAUCAAACAAACUAUGACUCAUUUAUUUUUGACAGGUUCGGCCAGUAUCACCUGACAAUUCAUUUUCACCAAGAGAAUAAACAUGAGUAGCCUUGGAAUCAAGUUCCUCCGAUAAAAGCCACGGAGUUGAUGGGUUAGAGACAGAACCAGAAUUUGAGUUCAACGAUGUGGAUGGAAAAUUCUGAAACUAGGAGCAACAGGAAGUUAAGACAACGAAUUAUUUUCAAUAUAGAAAGGCUAAUUGUAAGAAGUUGUUAAUGAAGUGUCCAAAUGCAUUAUGGUAAUAUUGGGUGCAGAAUGUUUGGAAGUUUUAUCCGUGUGCUGUGAAGCACCACAGAGUUGAAGCAUAUGAAACCAGUGUUUAUCUGACAAAAAAUAGUGUCAUGAUCAUUGCCUUUCCAUUCCAUAAAUUUAUGGAUAGCAGAAGAAAGAGAACUCUCAACACUUGAAUCACCAUAUAGCACUCUACAUCCAGGUGGUGCCUUGAUUUUUGAAGAUUUAGUUAAAAGCAGUGAUAAAAUUGGUACAUAAAUUACAGUGCAUUUCUCGAUAUGCAACAACAUUAAGAGCAACUUAAAGACAACAUCAUCAAGAAAUCUAGUAUUUAAAAUGUACAAAGAGCAGUAGUAAACAUAUGUAUUUUAUGGCUGACUUUAUCCAUAAUAAAUGUUGGAUUAAAUCAUCAAAAUAAAACACAAACAGAUAAUUAUCGAGUUUUUCAAUGGAGGAUAGAGAGGAAGACAUGCAUGCACAACUACUAGAUCUAUAUGGUGCCAGACUGCCAGUAAAAAUUUAAAGACACACAUGACAACAUUAUUUUGGAUGAAGUUCUAAUAUUGCAACCAUGGAGGAAAAAUCAGCAAAUCUUAAAUAGAUGUAGUAGUCCAAAUGAUAAAAGUUUGUCUCAAGAUAAUAUUUCAGUAACUGCAGAUGCAUUGUGUUGAACCUAACCUCUUGUGUUUCACGGUAAUGAACAAGGACAAUGUGUUCAAAGGUCCUGAACAAAAAGCAGAAGCAAGUCAUAAAUUAUAUAAGUAGAACACGAUAUACUGCCACUUCUAAUUUCAUUUUUCUUUGCUUGUGGCAUGAUGGGGAUAGACCCCACUGAAACAACUGGUAGCAAGCAAUUUAACAAUUUUCUUUCAACCAUAACAUACUUAUCUAGGAGCCAAUAACACCGGCGAACAAAGGUUGGGCUAUCUAGUCCAUGGGCAUAGUAUACAUGUAUCCUUUCUACAUUACCAACCUGCCGAAGAGAAAGAAAAGAUUAUCAAAGCACACCUUUUCUUGGUUAUUAAGGCUGUAAAAGAAUGAAAAUUACCAUAAAUCUAAACACAGUUAAUAUUAGACCAUUGAACAACCUAUAGAUUCAAAAGGAAAGACUCAAACCACCAAUAGACUGGUUAAUCAUUUAAAAUGAUCUCCAACAACAUGAUACGCAGUAUAUCGUGCUAGAUCCAUAAUUACCACAUGUGGACUCCUAUGGUAAUUUCAUUGAUGAUACGCAGCUAGUAGGCAAGAUUAUGAAAUGAAGACGGUAUGUGAGAAGAUUGAAAAGAUCAACAUGAUAAAAUUAUAGGGAUUUGAAUUUAUAUCUUAAGAACACCAGAGUCAAAUGCUUAAGCUGAUUAACUGUGUUAAAUUUAACUCUAUAAUAUAUUUUAAAUCUGAACAGUCAUUAAACAACUACAUUUUGAAUAAGCUUUAGAGAAUAUUAGCAAAAACAGUAGAAAUUACUUCAAAUUUGUAGAGAGAACAUAUAAAUUAUAUUCUACAGAAACACGAGCCCAUAGCAUGUCUACUGAGUAGCAAUGACAGUGAAAAAGGGAAUAGUAAGUAACUAAUCUCAUAAACCCCUUUCUCACAUCUAACCAAGUUCUUUCAUGACAUGCAAAAGCAUCAAAAUAUUUAAGAAAACUUCCAAUAUUGCAUUUGGAACUCAUUGAUUGACUUCAACGUUUAAGAGUCAUAAAAGACACAACUUACUUUCUCACCUGUCACCACUAAGCCUACGGCAACAUCUUUUUAUAAGAUAUUCAGCUAAUCUUUAGAUUGUUUACCGAAUAAUCGUCUAUUGUUUUGUAAUUGAUCCCACCAAGCGCUUGCGCCACCUUGAAGUUUGAGAGCAACUAAUCGAACCUUCUUGUGUUCGUGGUGUAUUGGCAUAGUCGAAAAAAUUUCUACGUUCUUGAUCCAAUCAAGAAACUUCUCCACGUCCAUUCGACCAUUGAAGGUAGGGAGAUCCACUUUCAUACGUAUUUCUUGAUCUUCUUGAAAGUAUGGUCGAAGUCCAAGCCUUUGUUGAGGUUCUUGAUGAAUGUUCAGCAAGUUGUCUUCAUCGGAAGAGUCAGAAUCAUUUAAGAAAUUUCAGGUACGUUGUUUCCAUACAAUCGAUUAUUGUGGAUGUGAAUAGGUUGAUUUCUUAGUAGUUCUUAGUUUACAACAGGGUUUAUUGGUCUUUCUUGUCUUUCUUGGUUUGCUGCAAUUGGGUUUCUUGGGGCUGAAUUGCUUCUUCUAAAGGUUGGACAUGAAAUCGGGUAAAAAGGUUUGUUAAUUCUACUAACGAUUGCUGUAUAUCUGACUGCCCUUUUCGAAGUUCUUCAAUAGCUUGUUCUACCAACUGCAAGCGUUGGUUGAAGGAGGCUUCCGCGUCCAUGGAUAAGAGUGGUAGGAUCCAAGUUUUUUUAGGGAAGAGUGAGCUAGGAUCACGCUCUGAUACCAAUUGAUUCAGUAAUUGCAAAGCUAGAAAUCUUUAUGUAUAAUGCCUCUUUUUUUUUAUGUCUUAUUAAUGAAAAUGAGAAGCUUUUUUAUAGGCUGGAGAUUAUAAGAGUUGUUAAACUAACUUGGGGUUGAGUUAGUUAACUUGGAGUUGAGUUAGUUAUAACUAACUCAAGAUACAAAAUUGGUAAUUCAAAUAACUAAUCCUAAACUAUAAAAAUGGUAAUUCAAACCCCUCCUCUAGGAUAAAACUCAAGAAACAUCAAGAAGGGAGAUGUUCUACAUCAAAGUGUAGAGAACGAUUCAAAAUCCUUGGUGAAAGAAAUGAAUGUUAACUAAUGUGUGUUUAUGUGAAAUUGUUCAAUGAGUAUGUUAAGGAUAAAGAAAGGUUUAUGCGAGAUAAAAUUAUUUGAUGUUGUUUAUGCGAAAUGAUGUUUAUGAAAAGGUAUUGCGAAAAGGAUUUCAUAAAACCUUAGUCUUUUAGACAUUCUUUCAAAAAUUCAUCUUCCAAGAUGAGGUGUUUAGGCCAAGUAGAGAAGAAGGUUGAAGGAUUUGCAGCGAGAUGACCAGACGUUUUGAAAAUAGUUAAGCAUUGGUUGUUUGGUCAAAGUGUUGUAAUUAUGUAUCAAACACAUGUUAUUAAUAAACAUCUUGGUAGGUAUUUAUUAUACUUGCACGCCUACUCUCACAUUUAGCCAUAUGUUGUACUUUGUUUUCCACCUUGACUUUUAAUGACACACAAACCAACUUUCCAAGGAAUUCCCUUUCAUUUUCCUAUUAACUCAUAUUCUCUUUUUUUAUCAAGUCCUUGAUAGAGAAAGUGGACUUUGAGUUGUUGGACUUUAGUAUUGCAUGGACAUACAAUUUUGAAUGAAAAAUCCUUAUAAAUGGGGCCUUUUAACUCAUUUGAUGGGUUGGCUAUUGAAUUUGGGCUUUCAUACCAAAUGGAAUUUUUUUUCUUAUUUACUUAAAGAAAAAAAAAAAAAAUUUACCACGCCCAUUUUUUUUCAUCUAUUUCUUUCGUCCGGUUCUUUCAUCCAACGAGUCCCACAACUCGAUUAUGAGUCUAGAAGUACUAAGUCAAACUUAGUGGUUGUUCGAAUAAAACGCAACUUCAAAUGUAAGUAUUCUAAAAACCUUAUUUUUUGGUUUAGUCUCGUUAAUUAAGCCCAAUUAGGGUAGAAUUUCGAUUCUUUUUCUGUUGUGCAUGUCUUAGUUCUAUCAGUAACUCCCUUCAGGGUGAUAACUCUCAUCAGCAGACUUUCCAUUACUGGUUUCUUCCUUAGUCAUCAUUAUAUUGUUGUUUUCCACAAUAGAUAGGGUGAGUUGCAGUUUUACAUGAAAUGCUCUGCUCACCCACACUCUUUUCUCACUAGUUCCUUAUUCUCAAUCUUCAACGCAAAUUUCAUCAUCUGGGCCAACCCAAUCGGUUCCACAGUUUCCACUUCCAUUUUUAUUCAUGGGCUAAGCCCAAUCAUCAAAGUCUCCUCUAACACUACCGUUUGAAGAAAUGCUACUAGAGCUAAAUAUCGAUCAAAUCGGUUGCGGUAUUCUUCUAAUCAUUUUCUGUUUGAUUGAGAAAAAUCUUCCAACCAAAGUUCCUUCUCGAAUUGAUCGAAACUGUACAAGCAUUCGUUCUUUCAGGUCAGCCCAAUUCUUAAAAACUUCCAACUCUUCUUGUGCUUGGUACCAAUCCAAUGCCAGAUCAUCAAAACUAAUAACGCUGUGGUUAAUUUCUCUGAAUCAGUAAGAUCAUGUAUCUUAAAGAAGCGAUAGGCUCUAAAUUGAGACCCAUUUCUAAUUUGAGUAAUGAAGUAAAUUUGGCUAGGUAUUAAGAAUUUGGCGUUUGAAUAAAUCCACGAAAAGGAUUAAGCGAUAAAAAAAUUUAUGGUUAAGUAUACGUUAUUGCGAUUCAGUGGGUAGUUCGCGAAGGAAGUUGUGCGACCCAUUUCUAAUUCGAGUAAGGAAGUAAAAUUCGGCUAAGAAUUAAGAAGUUGGUGUUCAAAUAAAUCCAUGGAAAGAUUAAGUGAUAAGAUCUUUUACGGUUAAGUAUACUUUUUUGCGAUAAGUGGUAGUUCGCGAAAGAAGUUGUGCGAUAAGAAGCGAAAAAGUCUUUGCGUAAGUUAGAAAUGAAAGUUUUGAGUGUUAGACUAGGAGUUUUGGGUGGUCUUCGCGAGAAGAACCAAGUGUUUCGUGGAGAAGAAGUCUACGAGGAAGCCUUGGAGUUUAAGUUCGUGAUAAGAGUUUUAUGCGAGUAAAAGUUGGUUAGUUCAUGUGGAACGUUUCUUAUAAUAAAAAUAUAAUCAAGCGAUAAGGUUAUUCACGAGAAAUGUUAAGUGGUUGAAUUUAUUCACGGUUUGGGUUAGGCGGGAGCAAGGUUUGUAAAGAAAAUGUCAAAUCUGAUUUGACAUGGGUUAACAUGUAAGAUUAAGGAUUUGAGCAUGACUAGGUUAAAUAUUAAGGAUUUGCAUGACUAAGUUAGUAUAAGGGAUCUAUAAAAUAGGAGAAUUUAGGUAACUAAGGAGGGGAUGACGAGAGUUUUGUUGAAAUGCUAAAGUGUUGUUGGUUUAGCCACGAAAAGAUGGUUGUGAGAAGGACUUCUUUAGUAAAUUUUGGUGAGUGCUUUUCAGUCAAAAGAAUUUAUGUUAAGAAACUUUAUUACGAUUUCUCUUUACUGAUUGAAAGAAGAAUUCAGAUGAGAAUGUUUCAGAAAGAUUUCUAUGAAAAGUUAUGUUCAAGCAUUAUUAUAAUGUUAAAGCUUGAUUUGAUGACUAUGAUUUCAAUAUUAUGUUUCUUUGAGAUGAUGCUAACUUUUGUGUGCACAUAAAGAGUGAAGGCACUAUGGAGUGUACGAACUACAUGGUAAUAAGAAGCUGACUUAUGCAUUGAAAUGAGCGUAUAAAGCUUAGCGGAUGACAACAAAGACGAAUUUGUAUGUUCUCAGAUGUUGAUACAGUAGUCUAAACGCGAGGUAAUGACACCAGCGUAGAGAAUGAUUCGGGAUCCUUGACAAAUGAAAUGAUUUUUUAAGCAUAAAGAAAGGUUUAUUCGAAAUGAAAUAAUUUUUCGGUAUAUUUAAAUGAUUUGAUAUUAUUUUACAAAAUGAUUAUGAAAAGGUAUUGUGAAAGGUUUUCAUAAAACCUUAAAGGAUUUAAAAAAAAAGUGGACCAUUCAACUUAAUUCCCAUCCACUAUCCUCUUGUCCAACAUGAAACUUUAUCUUAGUAAAACUUCUUGAUCCACUAUUUUACAAAAAUAUUCAAAACAAUACCAUACUACACCAAAUGUGAUAUUUUGGUAACACUAUAAAAUGGUCAGAAAUACCAUUUUCCUGACUUUUUUUUCAUCGACCAUUAAAGAAAAAGUAUAGAUGAUGUUUCAAAAACUUCCAAACCAUUGUGUUAGUUAUCGUUUUAGAUGAGGGUUGGGGUAGAGCAUCAAUACUAAAGGUUGUUAAGGAUUAAGAACUAAGACUUGAAAACAAAACCGCCUGCCUGGUUGACAACAACACCAUCCCACUAGAGUGCACAAUGAUUAUUAUUGCAUUAAGAAGAAGAUGGCAGUUAACCUUAGCGCCAUAAUCAGAACCUCAAUCCUCCCUUUGAUGAAAGCACCUAAAGGUGUCAUGCCUUUCCCCUCUACCACAUUGAAGCUCUUUGUCUAACACUACAAGAAAUGAGGGCUCUCUCGAUGCAUAAAAUCAUUGGGAGAUAUAUAAAAAGCAUCAGAAAAGGCUUUUCUGACAUACUAAUAUACGUUGGAACACAAGUCAGGAAAAAAUGUAUCGGGAGAGGAACUCCCGAUGCACAAUGUUGUGCGUCGAGAGUUUCUAGACAUCUUCUGACGUUGUAUGAACGUCGAAGAUGUUGUCAAUAUAGCAUCGAGAGAUGUCUAGGAACCAUGCGUCGGGAGAUCCUCUAUUUUUUAUUAAAAAAAAUAACUUCAAUUAAUUCCUAAAUUCAAAUUGAAAACUCUAAAUUCAAACUCAACUUCAACACUUCAACCUCAACUUCAACACUUCAAAUUCAAAUUUCUAAAACCUACAACUAAUUCAAAAUUCUAACAACACUUGAAAUUAAAUUUCAACACUAAAACUUACAACUAAUUCAAAAUCUAAAUACUAAAACUAAUUUGAAAUCUAAAAUCUAACACCUAAAACAAAUUUGAAAUCUAAAUACUAAAACUAAUUAACUAAAACAAAACAAUAACUAACUAAACCACUUACCGAUGGCGGCGACGACAGGACGACAACAGGGACGACAAUGGAGAUGACAAUGCCCUCUUCUUCUUUAUCUUCCUCUCGGUCUCCCUCUCCCUCUCUCAUUUUUUUCUCUUUAUGUUUCAUUUAUAUAAAGAAUGGAGUUAAAAAAGGCAGAGAACUCCUGACGCACAACGAAAACGAAUUGGUUCCACAAACCAAUCUCAUCACAGAGGUACUCUUUGCAAUUUAAGCUCUAUUUGCAAUGGACAGUCUUCAAAGUUUUUUUUAACGAUGUUUCCAAUGCUUUCCUUUCUCUCUCAUGUUUAAUAAAACAAAUUUCUCUUAAAACCUGUAGGGAGGCUACAUCGUAUCGAAUUUCAUACAACUGACGUGUUCAUCGAGUUACAACAAGUGCCGCACAAUAGUCUGUUCCAUUUUGAAAAGUUGUGAGUGUGACACGCUCACAUGAGGUUAGAACGAGACAUGGCAAGGCAAGCCCUACGCGCGCCUGCAACUUCUGCCACAAUAUUUUGUAAGCAAGCUGAUGUCUUUAGGCUGUUUUUGUGGUUUUUGGAAAUUUUAAGCAAAGUUUUGAUAUUUUUAUGAUCAACGGGAAUUAAAUGGAAUUAUUUCCCAUUAUUUUUCAUUAUUUUAGAUUUGAAGGAGAUCGACCAAGUUUAUAAGCCAAGGGUCCAAGCUACUCUCUAUAAGUGACAAAAAUGAGUUUAAAGUUGAUUUCUAUACAUGAAUUUACUAUCAAAUGUUUCAAGCAUGCUUUGAUGUUUGAAUAUUUGAGGAUACUGACUAUAAAGUAUUUCCAAAGCAUGAAUUUAGAAACAUUUUGGUAAACAUGUUUUUAUUCAUGAAUUUACUAAUGAAAAUUAUAAGCAAUCAUGAUUGUGCUAAGUUUUCAGAAUGUUUAAGCUUGAAAAUAAUAUUAGCAUGUUUUAGUCUAUACCUAAAAUAUUCUAAGAUAUAUAGCAACCCUUCGCGGAGAGAUUUUCUUGUGCAUAGAGGUCAUUUGAUUUGGAUAUUCAGUAAAUACCUAGCUUUCCAUCAUUGGUAUUAGAUAAGAGAUGAAGACUUCUAAAGAUGCUUAGUUUCCCAUCUCAGGGACGAGAGCUUGUACGAAUGCCUAGUUUUCCAUCUCAUUGUAGUUAUAACGAGAUAGGGCACAAUUGAUGCCUAGAGUUUCAUCUCGUAAGUAUCGUAUCACGGGAUAGGGCUUCUAUGCCUAGUUUAUUGUUUUUCGUCUCGACGAUUAUAGGUAUAACAGAGAUUUGGUUUGAGGUGCUUCUUAAGUCUUUAAUAUUUAUGUUUGUUUUGAUCCUAGGAAUUGAGCAUGUAAUGUAAAAAGUCUAUGCACAAGGGGUCAUAUGGCCAUCUCCGUGUUUCUUUAAUUAUCAAAUUUGUUCAAGUUUUUAAUUGUCUCUAGAUCAAAAUCUGGAGUUAUUUUUUGUGAUUUGGUGUACAAAUACAUACAUCCAUGUUUCUAAUUAUGAUUAGAUUGUUUUCUGCUCGCAACAUUUUAUUGUUUAGCUUGUCUUUGAUCUUGAACUUACUAUUAUGUUGAUUUAAAUUCCAUUUUAGCCUUAGAACUUUCAAAACAUCCAUUUUAGUCAUCGAGCUUCCAAAACGUAGCCAACUAAGUUUUAGUAUUUUGUAAAUUAUUUUAUCAAUUAAUAUUCAUUUAUCCAAUACUCAUCGGUCAUUUCUGCUAUAUGUGAUUGGAAUAUAUCUCAUAGGAAGCAUUUUGAAAGUUGGGAAAAGAUGGAAAAUUUUAGGGACUAGAACAAGAAUUUGUUUAAUAUUUUUUGAUAGGGUGAAUUCUUGCAAUUUCCUUGUCGUAUAUACAUAAUUUUUUCUCUCAUUUGGCAAAUUCAUUAUGCUUGAAAAUUUAGGUGAUUCAUGAGCUAGAUAAAGUAAACAACGUAUGGAAGAUGAUCUUUGUGGCUUGUGAGGAAGACGUGGAGGAAGCCUUGGUGGCCGUAGAAAAAGGGAUAUGGACUUUCAACGUUGAAUGGUUAAUGGCAUGUAUAAUGAGACAAGAAGUAGACUUGGAGGCCCUUAAUUUGCUGAGUCCCUAUGAGAAACAAGGUCACCCUAACUUUCAGUUUUGAACAAGCAGCAGCCAGCCAUUUCGUCCUUGUGUAAAUCCACUCUUUUCUCAACUCACUCUAAUUUGGUACAUAAACAAACUCUGAUCGCUCCAUCUCUAUAUUCAUCAGUACAUAAAAGACGAUAAGUUUAUUCAUGGAGAAAGUUGGAUGUAAGUAUGUUUUAGGAAUGGUCCUUCAUUUAGUAACUUUGGGAAUUGUAAAAAUGAGGUAAUGAAGUUCUAUCAAGUUGAAUGUUCUUGUUUAUGUUAGAUGAGACUGAUUCUUGGAUACCAGAAUUAACUUGAAGUACGUGUUUGAGUUCCAUUGGAGUGAUUAGAGAAAAGAUGUUCCUUUAAAAACGGUAAUUUUUUUAUGUAGACUUUCUUUUUAUUAAAAUUGCUUAAAAUACAAUUUGAGAGUAUUUCAAUAGCUUUCAAAGAGUUGUCAAACACUUGUAGUUUUUCUAAAAUAACAUAUUUUCAAAAUUAAUUACUGUAAUAGUUAAACAAAAGAUUCUUUCCCUUCGAAAUUUUAAAGUUUGUCUAGUUACCUCUUAAACCUUUCAAUUGUUUAAUAGGUCUUUCAAUUUUAUGUUUUAAGUGUCAUAAAUUUUGAUUUUUUUUUAUUUGUUAGAUAUAAAUCUGAAGAAAUGAAUAAAGUAGAUUUGUAAGUUUAAAAUAGUUUAAAAGUUGAGAAAUUAAAUUUGUAGUUUAAAAGUUGGAGUAAAUAGUUUGUGUUAAGUCGGGUUGUGAUAUUUUAUUUAUUUAUUUUAAUAAUAGAAGAGAGGGAGACGAAAACUGCAGACUGAAGGGAGAAGAAGCGGUGGCUGACUUUGUAUAUUUCUCCUUUCUUUUCAAUUUGAGAAAAUUUCUUUGCAAUUCACUUUGAAAAGGAAAUGAAUAUUUCUCCCUCAGACUUAUCUCUCUCUUCUUUUCAAUUUAUUUUCAAUUUUUCUGUGUGCUUCUCACAGUGUAUGCAUAAUCUCUCUUUCAUUUUGAUAUUCAUCUCCAUUUCAAAUAUCUCCCACACAAAGAACAAAGAAAUGAGUAAAGUAACUGAGAGAGCAUUUUGUUUUUCCCUUCAUAUGGUUGGUUACUUUUUGUCAAUUAAAUGAAAAGUGAAGAAUAAGAUAAGAUUUUCUUUACCCAUUUGCCAUCAUCAUCAAAGCUAUUUACCUCAUUUUUGUUCACACACACACAACUUCAUUUUGUUGGAUUACACUCAUUUGAGAAAAUAGCAAAAUUUUAUUAGAAGAAUAGCAAACACGAGCAUUUCAUGUGUUUUGAAUUUUCAUUAACCCUAAAAUCUCCUCGCCUGCUUUUUAGUUAAACUGUAACUAAUUUUGAAAUAUGCAAAAUUUUAGCAUAAAUAUUGAUUUUCUCCUACAUUAUCUUAACACACUUUUUUUCCUCCAAAUAUUGGAUUUAUAUCAAAUCUUUAUUUUCAAAUUUUACUUUAUCCAAAUUUUCAUUUUUCAAAAUUUCAUCGUUAUUCUACUUUUAUUUUUGUAUUUCAUAUAUAUAUAUAUAUUUAUAAUAUUUAAUCUUAUUUUUUCUCUUUUCCUAUUCAUCUUCUUCCUUUCUCUUCCUCUUCAACCUACGGCCACACCACCGUCUCUUUUCUUCCUUCUCUUUUCAUUCUCCAAUCAACUUCACCACCGUCUUCCACCUACAUCGAACGUCAAGCAAAUUUUGUCGUAUCGUCGCAUCACCGUUAGCCCGAGUCACUCCGGUUCCGUCACGCCAUGUAUGUUUAGAUUUGAAUUGUUUGGUUAUUUGUUGCACCGAUCCGUCUCCGUUAGAAUUUGAUUCUCCACAAUUUGGGUAAGUUAUGGAAUUUACAUAUAGAGUGAAUUGAAUGGAUUAAAUUGUUUGUGGAAGUGAUUGAUUUCUCUUCAAUUAUGUUUAGGUCGGUUCGUUGCACUUUAGUUUGAAAAAGAAGCUUAAGUAAGGUUAUAAGCUAAGGGAUUCUCUACUACUGGACUCACCUAUAGUUUUGAAUUGUGCUGUCUGUAUAGUUACCUCGAUUGAGUAAAGAUGUCGAAACGAUAUAUAUACGUAUGAAUGUAGACUUGAUGUUGAAUGCAUAUUGUGAUUGUCUGGGAAUAUAUAUAUAUAUAAAUAUGUAUGGAUGUAGACAGGACGACAAUUGUAGAUUGUGUUUGUAUGGAAUGUGGAUGUGUGAACUUGUGAUUGUCGUUUAGAUUGGGUGUAUGUUAUACUAAAGUAUGGUUGUGUACUGGUGAAUUGAGGGGUGUUAUGACUAUAUAGUUUGAUUGACUGAUGUAUUGAUAUGUUACUGGCGGACAUUGGGCUAAAGUGAGAUAAGUUGACUAUUAGGGUGUUCAGUGAAAGGAUUAUAUGUUGAAGUAGUUGGUUACUAUGAAUGAGUUUUAAGAUGUUUAGAAUGGAUUGAGGGGAAAAUUGUUAGAUUUCUAUUGGGUAGUUACCUUGCAGGUGUCCUACAGGAUCACCACCUGAUAUGUGCAUCCUUCGAUAGCACUAGACUGAUAUGUGCAUCCUUCGGGAGCAUUAGACUGAUAUGUGUUUCUGCGGAACACUAGACUGAUUUAUGCGUCCUUUGAGGCGUUAGACUGAUUAUGUGUAUCCUACGGAUCACAAGACUGUGACUGUGCAGGGUACCCCAAUAGGAAGUUAACAGUUUCUUUUUCCCCUAACGGGACGAAUAACGGGUCUCUUAUUGGGUAUGUUUAUACUCAUCCUUUCAUGUUUAACUAUUUUAGGCAAAGGUAACAAAUGAGGUAGACUGACGAGGGACAAGAAGGAGACGUGAUUGCCAUAAGGGAAUGUCCUUCAAAUGCUUCUGCUUUAUGUUUCUUGUUUUCCUUUGUACAUGAGGUUGUUUAAAAAUUUUGUGAUGGAACUGAGUUUACGAACUGUUGUUUUGUGAAUAGUACUUUAAAGUUUGGAUAUUUGAAAUAGGGCCCGAACUUAAGUUUGUUUUCUUUGAUCGUAUGAUUUCAAGUGAAUUUUACUAUAUUUUGUGUCAAUCAAGGUCUCUUUGUCAAAAUUAAUGACUUCAACUUAGUUAGAAAAGUUGGGUCGUUACAACAAAUUUUAAGUAUUGAUGUAAGAAUUAUGUACUUCAUUAUAAAGGUCGAUAGCUUACAAAUAUUAACACGAUCGUGUACCGAUAACAAGACGAUUGUUUACACUAUUCAAUACGAUCACCAAUAUCAUAUGAUCGUGUACCCAUGUCAACACGAUAAUUUAUUUUAAUCAAUAUUAUCAUUUACCGUUCUUAAAUGUUCGUUUAUCACGGUUAAUAGGAUCGUUUAAUGUAUAUUAUUUCAUUGCACGAUCGUUUACUUAUUCUUGCAUUGUGUUUAGUAUUAUCAUUUUGUACAUUUUAUUCUUUUAUUCAGUAAUAAAUGUAUAUCUAUGUCUAUCUAUUUCUUUCUAUCACAAUUAAAUACUUAAUUUUAUUUUAUUUAUUUUUUUUACAGAUUAUAAUGUCUUUUCCUAUUGUUGUUUUUUACGGAGGUCAAUGGAAUGGAUGUAAUAUUUAUGAGAAUUACUUAGUUGCUGAAAUUUUGGUAGGUGUCCGAGUCAGCUUUAAUUCUCUAGUUGAUUUAAUAUGUGAACAGAUUCAAUUGGAUGGAUAAGUAGAAUUAUCUGUUUUACUUGAUUUUGGUAAAAGCAAGGUCCAACUGUGGUGCCAGUAAAGAAAGACAAUGAUGUGGCUUGGUAUUUAUCUUUUGCUAAAGAUGCAACUAAUAUACAUCCAUUAGUUGCUCAUGUAACUGUUGAUUUUUUUUAGAAGGUCUUCUUCUUCUUAGAGAACUACCUGUAGCUACCAUGCUUAGUUCAAUUAGAGAUGUAUUGCAAAAGUGGUUUGAUGAAAGAAGUAAAGCUACUUUUACAAUGAAGAGUUGUUUGACUUCUUGGGCUGAGAACGUGUUGCAUUUAGAAUAACAUGAAAAGUCAAGAAUUUUAUUGGUAAUUUUUUUUUUUUUUUUAAUGUUUGUAUCUCAGGUAGAUAUAAAUAGAUUGCUAUUUUUGUCCAUUCGAUAGAGAAAUAUAACAAUUUAUGUGUGCUUGUUUCAGAUAUAUAGAGAUAGAUAGCUAUCAAUGUCUAUUUGUCUCUAUUUGUGCAUGCUUUUUUUUUUAAUUUUUCUAUAUUUGUUUUAUGUAUUAGGUUGAUCCAAUUAGUAUGACUGAAUAGAAAGUAAUGGAUGAUACAAAAUGAUAAUGUGAUUUAUUUAUAUUGGUUCUAAUUUGAAAUAUUCAAAUUUACUUUGGAAAUUAGUAUAAUUAGUAUAAUAUAUAAUGAUACAUUAUAAUAUAAAGUUUAUAUUUAAUGAAACUUUAUUAUAUAAAUUUAAUUUUAGAUAAAGUUCAAAAUUAAUUUAUGAGAAAAUAUUUGAAUGAGUUCAAAUAUUAAUUUAAUGUGGAUUUGUUUCAUAUUAAAACUAUUAAUUAUGAGAUAAAGUUAUAUUUGAAUAUGAUUCAAAUUUAACUUAAGUUAAAUAUAAAAUAUUUAAUUUAGUUAUUAAUUAAUUGAAGAAUUAAUUAAUAGUUUAGUUUAAUAUUAUUUAAUUAAAUUUGAUUUAAUUAAAUUAAUAUAAAACUAUGGGUAUUGGAGAGAUAUUCAUUCAAUAAGAUUUAAAUGAAAUAUUAAUUAAAUAUGAUUUAAUUAAUUAUUAACUAAUUGAUUAAUGGUUAAUUAGUUAGUUGAUUUGAAACUUCUAUUAAUUUAAUAUUUUUUAAGUUAAUAGAAUCCUAUGAUUUUCUCCUACCCCGUCUCCUACUCAAUGAAAGAAAGAGAGUUAUAAAUAUGUAGAAGAAAAACAUCUUUUCUUAACCAAAAUAAAAUCGAUGAUUUUCUUUUCUGCAAAAUAGAUUGUAACGACCUAAUUUUUCGAAUUAAGCUGAAGUUAUUACUUUAAGACUAGAUUCGUCUUUAACCAUAAGACUUUAUAAUUUAAAAAAUAUAUUUUUUAACAACAUUAAAGAGUUUUUAUUCGGCUCUAUUUCAAAUAAAAUUUUGAAAGUGUAAAAGUAUCGAUAAUAAAGAAAGUUCAAGAACAUAAAAGUCGUUCAAUCAUGAAACCCAAAACAGUCUCAAUUACUAAAGAAAACCAAAAAAAAAAAAAAUAUAAAGUAAAAGCAAUUUGAAGGACAUUUCCCUAUGGCAGUUUCGCGGAAAAAGAUUAAACAUAAAAGGGUGAGUAUAAACAUACCCAGUAAGGGACCCACUACUGAUCCUGUUUAGAAGAAAAAUAAAAUUGUUAACUUCCUAUUGGAGGUGCCCUGCACUUUAAAAGUCUUGUGAUCAUGUAGGAAUACACAUAAGCAGUCCAAUGCCCUAAAGGACACAAAUACUAGUCUAGUGCUCUGCAGAAAGCACAUGUCAGUCUAGUGCUCUCGAAGAAUGCACAUGUCAGUCUAUUGCUCUCGAAGAAUGCACAUGUCAUUCUAGUGCUCUCGAAGAAUGCACAACAGGUGGUGAUCCUGUAGGACACCUGCAAGGCACACUACCCAAUCGACAAAGCUAACAAUUUUCCCUUAGUCCAUUAUAAACAUUUAAUCAAUCCAUUCCUAGUAUAGUCAAACUACUCCAUCAUAUCAUCAAUCCAACUUAACACACUUACGUUCAAUCUAUUCAAUCUAUCACAAAAUCAGUUGAUACUAUAACAACACACCAGACAGUCAAGAUAUAUAUAUAUAUACAUAACACCUUUCUCAGUUUACAAAUACAUUAUCCAUCGUAUCUACUUCUAUACCAGUAAGUUUACAAACACUAACUGUUGAGUUUCUACAGUAGAUUCUUGAAGAUGUGACUCUUGAACAGAUGGAUUCUCAUGGAUGAUCACAUGUUUGUUAUUUUGAUGGUCAUCAUUCUUGUCUAGAUUGUGAUGACUAGAAUCAUCACGAAGAUCAUCAUACAUGUUGUUAAUAUCAUCAAACAAUUGAUUCUGAUUCUAGUAUAGAAAGAAAAAAGGAUAAUAAAAAAAUAGUUACAAAAUGAUCGUGUAUCCUUAAGCAAACAAUCGUGUAGAAUAUCUAAACGGUUGUUUUACCAAGGGUGAUCGAUAUUUUAGAUGGGAUAUGCGAUCGUUCAUAUGUGAUAUGUGAUCGUGUAAAGAUAUAUCAAACCUUUGUUCUGUCAGAAGUCGUGCUAAGAAGAGUUGAAAGCUUGUAAUAAGAUCCAUCAAAACUGAAAGAUUUUACAUCAACACGUUCCUGACACAGUAAUGCAGUAUCAAUGAGCAUCAAAUUACGUGAGAUACGUAUUAGAAAAUAUCUAACUGCUCAGUUAAUUUUUUAUGGACAUCAAAUCACCUUUUUUCAAGCUUAAGGAAGGAAAUGUCGACACUAUAUAUGUCAGAGUUGUGCAUUGCAAUGGAAGUGCCAACACGAGGUGAUACAUGUGUGUCUGGGAUGUAAAUGCCACUCCCCGACUAGGACCAACAUAGACUUAGGGAGAAAGCAUGCUAGGAAUUGGAGUUGUGUCCUCAAUUUCUUCAAGGGACUUGAGCAUUUCUUCUUACACUAGAAUGUCUCCUGUUCAGAGAGUUUAUAGGAUUUCUCAAGGCCAUUUUUGCAUACUUAACAGCUCUUGACAACGGUAGAGAGUCUAACUCUACACUUUCAAGGGGUUCCAACUCCACCACUCGCUGAGCCAAAGAUAGAGACGAAUCAUUAAUGAUCCAGUAAGCAACAUGAAACCUUGUAAUUUUGGGGUUAACGGUAGUCCCUCCCAUUACUAGCUCAACACUUAAACGGAGUCUCCUCUAUAAAAUAUAAAAUAAUACAGACACAAAUAGUGAAUGAAAUCUUGUGACGUAACAAACACAAAUUUUAGGUAUACUGCAAUUUGACUAAAUAUUGAACAAGAAAACCCAAGGGAAUACACAAAAAUCCAACGUUUUUAGGGGUCAAUUUGGAAAAUGGCAAAACUACUUUUUCUUUUCAAUUUUAGCAAACAACAUUUUUUGCGCGUGCAUGGUAUUUUAUAAAAUACCAAAAUAUUCAACUUCUCCAACUAUAAUUAUUUUGUUUUUACGUUAUAAUUAAUUUAUGUUAUGUAUUUAUCAACUUUUAAUUAAUUUUUACUUGAAAUAGAUACAUUAACUCAUAUCAUAACUUUUCUCUUAAAAUCUCAGGACUCAAUUAAUUAAUUCAAUAUUUUAAUAACAUUAUUCAAUCUUAUUAAUUUCAAAAUAAUCUAAUUGAAUUUGAAUUUCAAAAUAACCAAAUUGAAUUUCAAAAUUACAAAAUUAUUAUUUUCUAGAAUUUGAGAAUCUCAACGAUAGAUUUUAUAUUAAAAUAAACUUAUCUCAAAAUAAUUUUAAUGACUUGAAUAUCAAGAUAAUUAAAUUAUUAUUUUAAAAAUUGGAAGAAAAGCACAAAAAGCGCACACGCCCACUCACGUACACACGCACGCGCGCGUAUACGCACACACACGCACACGCACACGCACAAAAGCGCACACGUGGACACUCACACCCACGCACACGUAGACAUACACACCCACGCACACGUGGACACGCGCAUACGCACACACGUACGCACUCACGCACACGCACGCACACACGCACAUAUGCACAAAGAUGUAUAAAUGAAUUAAAAUUAAAAAAUAACUACAAUAAUUUGACUUACUAACGUUAAUUAAAUUAUAAUUUCUAUCAAUAUUGGUUUAAAAGUGUCAUUAAUGUAAUUAUUUCAAUAUAAUGCACUCUUAUCCAAUUUUACGAACAAAAAACAAGUCGAAUAUGUACCAUUAGAUGACACUCUUUGUCAUAAGAGAUAUAGCAACGUUUUUAUGGGUCAUUUUGAAAAAUGGCAAAACUACUUUUUCUUUUAAAUUUUAGCAAAUAGAAUUUUUUACACGUGUCCAUGAUAUUUUAUAAAAUACCAAAAUAUUCACCUUCUCAAACAGUAAUUAUUUCGUUUCUACGUUGUAAUUAAUUUAUGUUAUGCAUUUAUUAGCUUUUAAUUAUUUUUUACCUGAAAAAGAUACAUCCUUUUUCUUAAUAUCUCGGGACUCAACUAAUUGAUUCAAGAUUUUAAUUUUAUUCAAUCUUACUAAUUUCAAAAUAACCUAAUUAAAUUUCAAUUUCAAAAUAACAAAAUUAUUAUUUUUCGAAAUUUGAGAAUCUCAACGAUAGAUUUUGUAUCAAAAAUAACUUUAAUUGAAUUUCAAAAUUAAAAAAUAUUAACUUGUUCGCACACAAGCACACGCGCACACGUGCACAACGCACGCACACACACGCACACACACCCAUCCACACACGCACACGCACACGCACAUAUGCACACACGCACAAAGAUGUGUAAAUUAAUUAAAGUUAAAAACAAAUACAUUCAUUAUGUUCAGAAAGAGUUUUAAACCAUGUUCAUUUGACUUAAUAACAUUGAUUAAAUUAUAAUUUCUAUCAAUAUUGGCUUAAAAGUGUCAUUCGUGUAAUUAUUUCAAUAUAAUGCAGUCUUAUCCAAUUUUACGAACAAAAAACAAGUCAAAUAUGUACCAGUAGAUGACACUCUUUGUCAUAAGAGAUAUAGCAACGUUUUUAUGGGUCAUUUUGAAAAAUGGCAAAACUACUUUUUCUUUUAAAUUUUAGCAAAUAGAAUUUUUUACACGUGUCCAUGAUAUUUUAUAAAAUACCAAAAUAUAAACCUUCUCAAACAGUAAUUAUUUCGUUUCUACGUUGUAAUUAAUUUAUGUUAUGCAUUUAUUAGCUUUUAAUUAUUUUUUACCUGAAAAAGAUACAUCAACCCAUAUCAUAACUUUUUUCUUAAUAUCUCGGGACUCAACUAAUUGAUUCAAGAUUUUAAUUUUAUUCAAUCUUACUAAUUUCAAAAUAACCUAAUUAAAUUUCAAUUUCAAAAUAACAAAAUUGUUAUUUUUCAAAAUUUGAGAAUCUCAACGAUAGAUUUUGUAUCAAAAACAAUUUUAAUUGAAUUUCAAAAUUAAAAAAUAUUAACUUGUUCGCACACAAGCACACGCGCACACGUGCACAACGCACGCACACGCACGCACACACACUCAUCCACACACGCACACGCACACGCACAUAUGCACACACGCACAAAGAUGUGUAAAUUAAUUAAAGUUAAAAAAACAAAUACAUUAAUUAUGUUCAGAAAGAGUUUUAAACCAUGUUCAUUUGACUUAAUAACAUUGAUUAAAUUAUAAUUUCUAUCAAUAUUGGCUUAAAAGUGUCAUUCGUGUAAUUAUUUCAAUAUAAUGCGGUCUUAUCCAAUUUUACCAACAAAAAACAAAUCGAAUAUGGAUCAGUAGAUCUACACUCUUUGUCAUAAGAGACAUAACAACGUUUUUAGGGUCAUUUUGAAAAAUGACAAAACUACUUUUUCCUUUGAAUUUUAGCAACUAGCAUUUUUUGCACGUGCAUGGUAUUUUAUAAAAUACCAAAAUAUCAACAUUCUUCAACUGUAAUUAUUUCGUCUCUACAUUGUAAUUAAUUUAUGUUAUGCAUUUCUCAGCUUUUAAUUAUCUUUUACUUGAAAUAGAUACAUCAACUCAUAUCAUAAUAUUUUUCUUAAUAUCUCGAGACUCAACUAAUUAAUUCAACAUAUUAAUAAUUUUAUUCAAUCAUACUAAUUUCAAAAUAACCUAAUUGAAUUUGAAUUUCAAAAUAACAAAAUUGAAUUUCAAAAUAACAAAAUUGAAUUUCAAAAUAACAAAAUUGAAUUUCAAAAUAACAAAAUUAUUAUUUUUCGGAAUUUGAGAGUCUCAACGAUAGAUUUUGUAUUAAAAUAACCUUAAUUGAAUUUCAAAAUUAAAAAAUAUCAACCUGUUCACUAUCUUUAUCUCAAAAUAACAUUAAUGCCUUAAAUAUCAAGAUAAUUAAAUUAUUAUUUUAAAAUUGGAAGAAACUCAACAUUAAAAAUAUUAACUUGUCGGACACAAGCAUAGAAGCACUGCGCACACACGUACACAUGCACACUUACACACACGCGCGCACACGCACACCUACACACAGACACCCACAGACGCACGAACCCACGCACACACACAUGCACACGCGCACGCAUGCACACACACACCUAUCCACACGCACACAAGCACACACACAUGCACAAACGCACACACGUGUACGCACAAACCUUAUCUCAAAAUAGUUCCUAUUUUUGCUGACAGUUUAUUUUUUGCCAUCGAUAGAGGAUCUUCCAAUAGACCUACGUGACGGUGUGUGUUGACAGCUUAAUUUUGUUGGCAAAAGAAAAGUUGAUUAGUUUUUGAAGAUUUACUGACGAUAUUUGUCAUCGACAAAGGGUAAAUUUCUUGUAGUGCAUGUACAUCAAACAUAUCAAAUUUGUUAAGUGUACCAAUGAAGUAUAACAAGUUUAUUAGUGGUGUAUCACGUGUAUCAAACUUAUUAGUGAAGUCUUUAAGUGUAUCAAACUAAUCAAGUGUAUCAAGGCCUCAGGGGUAUCAAGUGUAUCAAGAAGAAUCAAGUGUAACGAGAAGUAUUAUGUGGAACGAGAAGUAUUAUAUGUAUGAAGAUGUUUCAAGUGUGUAUCAAAAAGUAUCGAGUGUAUCAAUGAGUACCGAGUGCAUGAAUUGUAUCUAUCAAAUGUAUCAAGUGUAUCAGUAAGAAGUAUCAAGUGUAUCAAGGGUAUUAGGUGUAUCAGACGUGUAUAAGGUGUAUCAAAUAUACAUCAAUAACGAGGGCAUUUGUGACAUUUUACCUCUUGAUGUGUGAGUUGGUCUUUGUUUUUGUCAUUUUCUCAAAUAAUAAAGUAUGUGUUCUAUGGACUUAAUUAUUAUAACUUAUUUUGCCAUUUUCGCAAGUGUCCCUUAAUUGUAAUACAUGUAUAUGUGACAUAAUCUAAUCAAACUAACUCAUAAAUGGACUUAAUGUAUCAAGAGGUAUUAGGUGUAUCAGACGUGUAUAAGGUGUAUCAAAUGUACAUCAAUAACGAGGGCAUUUGUGACAUUUUACCUCUUGAUGUGUGAGUUGGUCUUUGUUUUUGUCACUUUCUCAAAUAAUAAGGUAUGUGUUCUAUGGACUUAAAUAUUAUAACUUAUUUUGCCAUUUUUGCAAGUGUCCCUUAAUUGUAAUACAUGUAUAUGUGACAUAAUAUAAUCAAACUAACUCAUAAAUGGACUUAAUCUAUCUCAUGGACCACGAAUUCUUCAAUUACUUGCAAAUUUGGUGAGUUCCUUCAAAUGGUGGGCGGAGAGCUUAAUUUUGAGAGAGAGGAAAAGUCGUGAAGAGUAUUUGCGAGAGAGGGGGGAACGUCGCCAGAGAGCAUUUGCGAGAGAGCUAAAGACAGCGACGAUGUGGGAUGAAGUAAGGUUUUUUUCGGUCAUUGUUCACAAGUGGGAUGAAAGCUUCGAAUUAUUUGUUUUAAAUCAAAAAACGUAUGAUUGAAGGAAAACAUUGAUUUUUAUUAGGGUAAUUUUUUAAUGACACAUAAUUUAUGCCAUUAUUUACAAUGCCAAAAUUUUGUCAAGAAAACUCAAUUUGUGUCACAAAAAAAUUUGUAUUUUUAUUUUUUUAACGACACAUUUUAUUCCCUCAUAUCCCUUUUUCUUGAUUUCAAGUGUCAUUAAAACUUAUAUUUCUAAAUAAAUUUAUUCGACGAAAGUGGCUAGAUUGGUGGGUUUGACGGCGAAGGCUUGUUGUGGGAGCAACGACAACAGUGGUUGGAGUGUGGAAUCGACGACGGCAAGUGGCAAAAAAUUGGGGGCAAGGGUUCUUCAUAACGACUCGAUAGCCCACUUCGAAUUUUUUUGAAAUUUGAGGUUUUUUCAUUUGAAAAUUUUUUUAAUGACAAAAAAAUUGACGUUAAUUAAUGACGCAAAAUUUGUGUUGAAAUAAAUUAAAUUGUGUCAAUAUGAUUGUUUUAAGAAAUAAUCCAUAUUUAUAUUUUCAACAACACAAUGUACCUCAUCCCACCUCUUUUUUCUUUUAUUUUCAACGACACAAUGUCUUGAUUAAAAUCCAUUUUUCUAGUAGUGACUGAAAAAAAAACUGGACAGAAUCAUAAUAUCUUUGAUAAUUAAAUCACCAGUUGGUUUGAACAUAUAUAAUCUUGGAUCUAUUCUAUUAUGAUAUGACCAUGGUACAUCAUGAACAUACAUUGACUAAAAAACUUAAAUUGAUGAGUGAAUGUAAUAAAUUUAAUAUUAAUUAUAUGAUCAAUACUUUACACAUGUAUAUUGGUAUAUCAGUCAAUAACAGUAGUAAGACAAAUUAUAAAAUAUAAGGGAUAAAAGUCCUACACAUGCAUGUAUGGUAUACUCUCUUGAUAGCAAAAUGCAUUUAUGUCAACUCAUGUUUGAAUGCAUUUAUGUAGGAAAUUCAAUAAAAUAAUUAAGAAACCUUGCAAUAUGUGAGAGAUAUACGAACUUCAAACAAAUUUUACAAGUUUCAGCAAAAAUUUUCAAACAACUUUUAAAGUUUAAGCAAAAAGUAACCGUAGGUAGGAAGGGGAGCAAAAGUGGGGUCUCGAAUUAAUUCUGAAAAAUUAGUAGGCUUUCAAAAUUUAGGUUCUAGAAGUAGAAUUAUUGCAGAAAAAUAAAUAAUUGCAUCAUUCAAAUUGAAUCAGACAUAUCAGGAUGUAUAUAUUCUCCACAACGUAUAAUGGAGUAUAAACAUAAAGUUUCUAUAUACAAAGCUAUGUAUCUCUACCCUUGACUUCUCUUUCUCUCUUUCUACCUUUUUUAUCCUUUCUUUCUUCCAUUCACUCAAUACACUUGCAAGAACCUUCAUUUUUUUGUAUUUAAAUUUUCUUGGCACCAUCCUUUUUUUUAAUUAUCAAGGCUUUGUUAUUGUGUACCAGUAUUGUGUCGUGCCUCCUUCACUUCUCAUCAUCAUUUUCAUGUCACAUCUCUACCUUGUCAAUUUUCGUUUUUCACUCAGCUUUCUUUCUUCUUUUGUCUUCACUACUUUCUUCGCUCCUUCUUCUCAAGCUCUAACUUUUGCUAUUAUCAACCAGUCUCAAAUGACCAUUGGAAAACCUAUAGCCCACUGAGAGGCAGCCAAUAUAGUAAUGUCUCUAAUGAUAAACUCCAAUGAAAUCAAAAGUUCUUCUUUAAGAUUUGGAAAAAUAUAUUAGAUAAACCCGGACGUGGUGAACGCGGUGAACGCAGACGCACGGACGGUGAACACGGCAGAAGUUAGAGAUCCUCAGAGAGAACUUGGCAUUUUCGAAUGCGGUAGAGACAAGUCUAGGGCUUCAAAGGAUUCAACCCAAUAUUUUCUUUAUAUAUAUAUAUAUAUAAUAUAUAUUAUAUAUAUAUAAAUAUAUUUAAUAACACUUGACGUUUUCAAAAACGUCAAGAAAAACGAUCUUACUUAACGUCUAAAAAAACAUCAAGAAAUUUAAAAAAUAACUCUCUCUGGCUUUUUAUAAAAAUUCUUGACGUUUUAAAACAUAAAGAAUUUUUAAGAUAUUUCUUGACGUUUUUAAAAUGUCAAGUAAAAGUACAUAUUACUUGACGUUUGAAAAUUUUGAAGAAUAUUGAAUAUAUAAACAUUCUUGACGUUUAAAAAUGUCAAAAUUUUUAUAGAUAUUUCUUGACGUUUUUAAAACGCCAAGAAAAAAUACAUAUUAGUUGAUGUUUAAUAAACGUCAAGAAAUCUGAAAAUUGACCUACCCGCCUUUUCGUAAAAAUUCUUGACGUUUUAUCUUUGGAACUACUCCUUUCUUGACGUUUUUUUUGAAAAAAAUGUCAAGAAAGAAAAACAACAAACGUCAAGAAAGGCCUUUUUUGUAGUAAUGACAUACAUAAAUAUAUAUAUAUACAUAUAUAUAUAUAUAUAAUGAAUUAAAAUGGUUUUGUUGCUUUACUGUUUUACUCUAUAAAGGAAGAGCAUUAUAAAUAUAUUAUUGAGGAAACAUUUUUUGAAAUGACUGGUUUUGGAAGUGUCAUUAGAUUUUUAGUUAGUUAAGCACAUUUUCCUCCCAAAUAGUAGUCGAAAUACAACUUUUUUUAAGAAGAAGAAACCGAAUCAUUCAAACUAAGAUAAUCCUAGGAUAAGAGUCAUUAUCUAUUAACAUAGAGCUAAAGUUACAAGGUUGAAGGCUAGAGGGAAGCCCGAAACAACCUAAUCUAACAAAGCUUAAAGUUAAGAGUUGGUAGUAACAUCAUAUUGGUUACAAGAUGAAUGACGCCUAGACCAAACUCCGAUCAAGUUACAUAUGUCUUCCCACAAGUAAACAAUAAACCUUGAUUUAUCCUUAAAAAUUCUAUUGUUUCUUUCUAUCCAAACAGUCCAAAGUAAGCCAGUUAUGGAGGGAGGAAUACACAUUAGAAAGCUCAGUUAUGGAUGGAGGAAUACACAACUUUUUCUCAUGGUCAUUUUCCUCGUGGGCAUUAUCUUCAUGUUUCUUCUUAUUCCGACUAAAAUACAAGCACAAAUUAUUCUUCGCCUUCGUAUAGGUUUGUUUGAAGAAGAUUAAAAAAGUCCUUAAUUUAUCUCGACACUUCCAAAACCAGAAUAUAAUACCCGUGCUACAUAAAUCCCUCUUUCCAAAUAGUCAAACAUGAACUAUCCAUGAAUAUCUUGAAUAAACAAGAGAAACCCUAACUAAACCCAAAUAGAAAAUACGCUGCAAUCUAAAAUAUACUUAAAGAAACAAAAAGAAGUUUUAAUGAUGUGGGUUUUUUACUGAUCUUCUUCAACAACAAAAUAACUCAACGCCACAGUUCAAUUUUUCCUUCCACGAAUUGGUUUUUAAAGAGUUUUCACCGCGAAUUUAUCUUUUUGGUUCAACAAGUAAACAACAUGUGAAUCCCCAAAUGCAAGGUUUUAUUAAAAAAUUAAAAUAUAAUUUUUUUAAAAAAAUUAUAAUACCUAAUUUUUUUUUAUAUAUUUAUAACCUAAUUUUCUGUCAUUGCAUACUUGAGAGAAAUAUAUUUUCAAUUAGCAUAAUAACCUUUAUAUAGUAAAUUAAAUUUGUAGAAUGAGAAAAGACCUUAGAUCCAAAAAAGUUAUUUAUUUAUUAUUGGAGUGAAUUGUCUAAUUAAUGUAGUUAAUGGAUGGUUUUGUAACCAUAAAAAUAAUGAAAAUAAUUUUCUAAAAGAAUGAAUGAAAAUUUGGAAAGUUAAAAGGUUUUAGGAAUUAAAAAAAGGGUGUAACAUUAUAAAAGACUACCAAAUAUACUGUAAGAGACAUGCAUUAAAGAAGCUAAGGCAUGCAUACUACCAAAUAUACUAUAAAUAAACCAGAAUUCUUUUUAAGAAAUUAAACAACUAAUUAAAUAUAAAGAAGAAAGAUUAGAAAAUGAAUGAUCAAACAAACUAUGACUCAUUUAUUUUUGACAGGUUCGGCCAGUAUCACCUGACAAUUCAUUUUCACCAAGAGAAUAAACAUGAGUAGCCUUGGAAUCAAGUUCCUCCGAUAAAAGCCACGGAGUUGAUGGGUUAGAGACAGAACCAGAAUUUGAGUUCAACGAUCUGGAUGGAAAAUUCUGAAACUAGCAGCAACAAGAAGUUAAGAUAACGAAUUAUUUUCAAUAUAGAAAGGCUAAUUGUAAGAAGUUGUUAAUGAAGUGUCCAAAUGCAUUAUGGUAAUAUUGGGUGCAGAUUGUUUGGAAGUUUUAUCCGUGUGCUGUGAAGCACCACAGAGUUGAAGCAUAUGAAACCAGUGUUUAUCUGACAAAAAAUAAUGUCAUGAUCAUUGCCUUUCCAUUCCAUAAAUUUAUGGAUAGCAAAAGAAAGAGAACUCUCAACACAUGAAUCACCAUAAAGACACACAUGACAACAUUAUUUUGGAUGAAGUUCUAAUAUUGCAACCAUGGAGGAAAAAUCAGCAAAUCUUAAAUAGAUGUAGUAGUCCAAAUGAUAAAAGUUUGUCUCAAGAUAAUAUUUCAGUAACUGCAGAUGCAUUGUGCUGAAUCUAACUCUUGUGUUUCACGGUAAUGAACAAGGACAAUGUGUUCAAAGGUCCUGAACAAAAAGCAGAAGCAAGUCAUAAUUAUAUAAGUAGAACACGAUAUACUGCCACUGUCUAAUUUCAUUUUUCUUUGCUUGUGGCAUGAUGGGGAUAGACCCCACUGAAACAACUGGUAGCAAGCAAUUUAACAAUUUUCUUUCAACCAUAACAUACUUAUCUAGGAGCCAAUAACCCGCGAACAAAGGUUGGGCUAUCUAGUCCGUGGCAUAGUAUACAUGUAUCCUUUCUACAUUACCAACCUGCUGAAGAGAAAGAAAAGAUUAUCAAAGCACACCUUUCCUUGGUUAUUAAGGCUGUAAAAGAAUGAAAAUUACCAUAAAUCUAAACAUAGUUAAUAUUAGACCAUUGAACAACUUAUAGAUUCAAAAGGAAAGACUCAAACCACCAAUAGACUGGUUAAUCAUUUAAAAUGAUCUCCAACAACAUGAUACGCAGUAUAUCGUGCUAGAUCCAUAAUUACCAGAUGUGGACUCCUAUGGUAAUUUCAUUGAUGAUACGCAGCUAGUAGGCAAGAUUAUGAAAUGAAGACGGUAUGUGAGACGAUUGAAAAGAUCAAGAUGAUAAAAUUAUAGGGAUUUGAAUUUAUAUCUUAAGAACACCAGAGUCAAAUGCUUAAGAUGAUUAACUGUGUUAAAUUUAACUCUAUAAUAUAUAAAUUAUUAGCAAAAACAGUAGAAAUUACUUCAAAUUUGUAGAGAGAACAUAUAAAUUAUAUUCUAGAGAAAGAGCAUCUGAAUUAUAUUCUACAGAAACACGAGCCCAUAGUAUAUGUACUGAGUAGCAAUGACAGUGAAAAAGGGAAUAGUAAGUAACUAAUCUCAUAAACCCCUUUCUCACAUCUAACCAAGUUCUUUCACAACAUGCAAAAGCAUCAAAAUAUUUAAGAAAACUUCCAAUAUUGCAUUUGGAACUCAUUGAUUGACUUCAACGUUUAAGAGUCCUAAAAGACACAGCUUACUUUCUCACCUCUCACCACUAAACCUAUGGCAACAUCUUUUUAUAAGAUAUUAAGCUAAUCUUUAGAUUGUUUACCGAAUAAUCGUCUAUUGUUUUGUAAUUGAUCCCACCAAGCGCUUACGCCACCUUGAAGUUUGAGAGCAACUAAUCGAACCUUCUUGUGUUCGGGUGUAUUGGCAUAGUCGAAAAAAAUUUCUACGUUCUUGAUCCAAUCAAGAAACUUCUCCACGUCCAUUUGACCAUUGAAGGUAGGGAGAUCCACUUUCAUACGUAUUUCUUGAUCUUCUUGAAAGUAUGGUCGAAGUCCAAGCCUUUGUUGAGGUUCUUGAUGAAUGUUCAGCAAGUUGUUCAUCGGAAGAGUCAGAAUCGUUUAAGAAAUUUCCAAGUACGUUGUUUCCAUACAAUCGAUUAUUGUUGAUGUGAAUAGGUUGAUUUCUUAGUAGUUCUUGGUUUACAACAGGGUUUAUUGGUUUUUCUUGUCUUUCUUGGUUUGCUGCAAUUGGGUUUCUUGGGGGCUGAAUUGCUUCUUCUAAAGGUUGGACAUGAAAUCGGGUAAAAAGGUUUGUUAAUUCUACUAACGAUUGCUGUAUAUUCGAUUGCCCUUUUCGAAGUUCUUCAAUAGCUUGUUCUACCAACUGCAAGCGUUGGUUGAAGGAGGCUUCCGCGUCCAUGGAUAAGAGUGGUAGGAUCCAAGUUUUUUUAGGGAAGAGUGAGCUAGGAUCACGCUCUGAUACCAAUUGAUGCAGUAAUUGCAAAGCUAGAAAUCUUUAUGUAUAAUGCCUCUUUUUUUAUGUCUUAUUAAUGAAAAUGAGAAGCUUUUUUAUAGGCUGGAGAUUACAAGAGUUGUUAAACUAACUUGGGGUUGAGUUAGUUUAACUUGGAGUUGAGUUAGUUAUAACUAACUCAAGAUACAAAAUUGGUAAUUCAAAUAACUAAUCCUAAACUAUAAAAAUGGUAAUUCAAACCCCUCCUCUAGGAUAAAACUCAAGAAACAUCAAGAAGGUAGAUGUUCUACAUCAAAGUGUAGAGAACGAUUCAAAAUCCUUGGUGAAAGGAAUGAAUGUUAACUAAUGUGUGUUUAUGUGAAAUUGUUAUGUUAUGAGUAUGUUAAGGAUAAAGAAUGGUUUAUGCGAGAUAAAAUUAUUUGAUGUUGUUUAUGCGAAAUGAUGUCUAUGAAAAGGUAUUGCGAAAAGGAUUUCAUAAAACCUUAGUCUUUUAGACAUUCUUUCAAAAAUUCAUCUUCCAAGAUGAGGUGUUUAGGCCAAGUAGAGAAGAAGGUUGAAGGAUUUGCAGCGAGAUGACCAGACGUUUUGAAAAUAGUUAAGCAUUGGUUGUUUGGUCAAAGUGUUGUAAUUAUGUAUCAAACACAUGUUAUUAAUAAACAUCUUGGUAGGUAUUUAUUAUACUAAAGUCAAAGUGUUGGACUUUAGUAUUGCAUGGACAUACAAUUUUGAAUGAAAAAUCCUUAUAAAUGGGGCCUUUGAACUCAUUUGAUGGGUUGGCUAUUAUAUUUGGGCUUUCACACCAAAUGGAAUUUCUUUUUCUUAUUUACUUAAAAAAAAAAGAAAAUUUACCACGCCCAUUUUUUUCAUCUAUUUCUCUCGUCCGGUUCUUUCAUCCAACGGGUCCCACAACUCGAUUAUGAGUCUAGAGGAUACUAAGUCAAACUUAGUGGUUGUUCGAAUAAAACGCAGCUUCAAAUGUAAGUAUUCUAAAAACCUUAUUUUUUGGUUUAGUCUCGUUAACUAAGCCCAAUUAGGGUAGAAUUUCGAUUCUUUUUCUGUUGUGCAUGUCUUAGUUCUAUCAGUAACUCCUUUCAGGGUGAUAGCUCUCAUCAGCAGACUUUCCAUUGCUGGUUUCUUCCUUAGUCAUCAUUGUAUUGUUGUUUUCCACAAUAGAUAGGGUGAGUUGCAGUUUUACAUGAAAUGCACUGCUCAACCCACACUCUUUUCUCACUAGUUCCUUAUUCUCAAUCUUCAACGCAAAUUUCAUCAUCUGGGCCAACCCAAUCGGUUCCACGGUUUCCACUUCCAUUUUUAUUCAUGGGCUAAGCCCAAUCAUCAAAGUCUCCUCUAACACUACCGUUUGAAGAAAUGCUACCAGAGCUAAAUAUCGAUCAAAUCGGUUGCGGUAUUCUUCUACAUUCAUUUCUGUUUGAUUGAGAAAAAUCUUCCAACCAAAGUUCCUUCUCGAAUUGAUCGAAACUGUACAAGCAUUCGUUCUUUCAGGUCAGCCCAAUUCUUAAAAACUUCCAACUCUUCUUGUGCUUGGUACCAAUCCAAUGCCAGAUCAUCAAAACUAAUAACGCCUGUGGUUAAUUUCUCUGAAUCGGUAAGAUCAUGUAUCUUAAAGAAGCGAUAGGCUCUAAAUGUGAGACCCAUUUCUAAUUUGAGUAAUGAAGUAAAAUUGGCUAGGUAUUAAGAAUUUGGCGUUUGAAUAAAUCAACGAAAAGGAUUAAGCGAUAAAAAAAUUUAUGGUUAAGUAUACGUUAUUGCGAUUCAGUGGGUAGUUCGCGAAGGAAGUUGUGCGACCCAUUUCUAAUUUGAGUAAGGAAGUAAAAUUCGGCUAAGAAUUAAGAAGUUGGUGUUCAAAUAAAUCCAUGGAAAGAUUAAGUGAUAAGAUCUUUUACGGUUAAGUAUACUUUUUUGCGAUAAGUGGGUAGUUCGCGAAAGAAGUUGUGCGAUAAUGUAACACCCGAACUCUAAGGUAAUUAAUUUAAUCGGACCAUUCGAUAUUUUUACUCUUAAUUUUUGUUCGACGUCAUUUUGUUGUUUUGUCUUAAAAAAAAAAGUGUUGGAAAAGUCUUUCAUAAUAAUAAUAUAUUAUUAUUAUUAUUAUUAAUUAGCAUAAAAAAAAGGAAAAGAAAAAGAAAUUAAAAUAUCUUUUUCCUCUCUCCCCUCUCUCACGCGUGCGACACCCUCUCUCCAUCUUUUUCUUCUUCUCUUUCCUGUACCCUAACCCAGCCGACCAUCAUCUUCUCCCCUUCCCUUGCCGUUCAGAUCCAUGGCCUCCGCCCACCGCCGCGUGACCCUCUGCCCAGCCCCGCCGCGUGACCUCUGUCUCCGUCGAAGCCAAGUCCAGCCGUCGUCCAUUCCUUUCCUCUCUUCUUCUCCGUUCGUGAAGCCCAGUCGCCGCGUCAGAUCGUCGAUCGAUUUUGAGGCAGCGCGCACGCCUCCUUCUAGCCGCGCGUUUCCUCUUCUUCCAGCAACGUGUUUUUUCUUCUAACCGCGAUUCACAAACCGACGUACACUCUAAUCUGUUUGCACGAUGGUUUUUGUUUAGAAUCGAUUGCCGCUGCCCCUAUUUUUACUGAGAUCCGUCGAAGUAUUGUUGGUAAGAUUGAAGUUAUGAAAUUGUAGUCGUUUUCAAAACAAUUUAAGUAUGGGUUGUGAUGUUUUCAAGGUGUUCAAACGUUACGGAUGGGUUAAUUGACUAAUUUGAUAAAUUAUUCUUGAAGGUGUGAAAGGUAACCUUGGAUCACUUAAAUUCACAACCAAUUUGUGAAUUUUGAUUUCGAUUUCGUUUGCCCUUAUUUGGAUUGUUUCGUGGACGAUAGUUGAUUAAGGGAGCUUCCCUAACUUUGAGGUAAGGGACUUUCUACUGGACUCACCUAAAGUUUUUGAGUUGUGUUGGACUGUAUGGAUGAUGAUUAAGAUGUACACGUUUGGUUGCAGACUAAAUGUUUAGUGUAUGUUGUAUUUGACUGGAAACAUAUAUAUAAAUACAUUGAUGUGUGAAUUGAUGUGGAUUGCCGAAAGUAUACAUGUGAAUGACUGAAAUUAUGCUUAUGUGUACAUGAUGAUAUUAAUAGAUUGUGCUGUAUAAAGAUUUGGAUGUGAACUAGUGAAUUUGUUUCGGUUGAAUGUGGAUUAUACUGAACUGUGGUUUGCGCUGGUAAAAAUGAGGGGUGUUGUGACUUUGUUGUUUACUUGACAGAUGUAUUAAAAUGUUAUCAACGACCUUCGAACUUAAGUGAGAUAGGUUGACUGUUAGAAUGUUGAGUGAAAGAACUUUAUAUUUUGAAGUAACUGAAAGAUGUCAUAAAUUACCGUAAAGAUGGUUAGAAUGGAUUGAGGGGAAAAAUUGUUAGUUUUAUUGGGAUGUAUGCCUUGUAGGUGUCCUACGGGAUCACCAAUUUUUAUGCGACCUUCGGAGCAUUAGACUGAUAUGUGUUUCUGCAGAACACUAGACUGAAAUGUACGUCCCUCGGGGCGUUAGACUGAAAUGUGCAUCCUACGGGAUCACAAGACUGCGACUGUACAGGGUGUCCCAAUAGAAUGUUAACAAUUUAUUUUCCCCUGACGGGACCAGUAGAGGGUCUCUUACUGGGUAUUUUUAUACUCACCCUCCUUAUGUUUAAUUUUUCAGGCAAAGGUAAUAAAGGCAGCAAACCGGCGAGGGGCAGGAAGGAAGCGUGACCGCCACAGGGGACACUUUAAAAUUUUGCUUCCGCUUAGUGAUUUAUAGUAUUAUUUGUAUUCGAACGUGAGACUGUUUAGAAAAUUUUGAAGUUUUAAAGUAUUCAAAGAUUUGAAACUUUUUAGUUUUAAAUUUUCAUGUGAAUUUUAGUAAUUUAAAACUGGGGCCCAAACAAACAAAAUAAAUUUUGUUCUUUUGAGGUUUUAAAUUUUAAUUAACCAAGGUCUUUUGUCAAAAGUUAAUGACCUCGACUUAGGUAAAAAGUUGGGUCGUUACAGAUAAGAAGCGAAAAAGUCUUUGCGUAAGUUAAGAAAUGAAAGUUUUGAGUGUUAGACUAGGAGUUUUGGGUGGUCUUCGCGAGAAGAACCAAGUGUUUCGUGGAGAAGAAGUCUACGAGGAAGCCUUGGAGUUUAAGUUCGUGAUAAGAGUUUUAUGCGAGUAAAAGUUGGUUAGUUCAGGUGGAACGUUUCUUAUAAUAAAAAUAUAAUCAAGCGAUAAGGUUAUUCACGAGAAAUGUUAAGUGGUUGAAUUUAUUCACGGUUUGGGUUAGGCGGGGAGCAAGGUUUGUAAAGAAAAUGUCAAAUCUGAUUUGACAUGGGUUAACAUGUAAGAUUAAGGAUUUGAGCAUGACUAGGUUAAAUAUUAAGGAUUUGCAUGACUAAGUUAGUAUAAGGGAUCUAUAAAAUAGGAGAAUUUAGGUAACUAAGGAGGGGAUGACGAGAGUUUUGUUGAAAUGUUAAAGUGUUGUUGGUUUAGCCACGCGAAAAGAUGGUUGUGAGAAGGACUUCUUUAGUGAAGUUUGGUGAGUGCUUUUCAGUCAAAAGAAUUUAUGUUAAGAAACUUUAUUACGAUUUCUCUUUACUGAUUUGAAAGAAGAAUUCAGAUGAGAAUGUUUCAGAAAGAUUUCUACGAAAAGUUAUGUUUUCAAGCAUUAUUUAUAAUAUUAAAGCUUGAUUUGAUGACUAUGAUUUCAAUACUAUGUUUCUUUGAGAUGAUGCUAACUUUUGUGUGCACAUAAAGAGUGAAGGCCACCAUGGAGUGUACAAACUACAUGGUAAUAAGAAGCUGACUUAUGCAUUGAAAUGAGCGUAUAAAGCUUAGCGGUAUAGCAACAAAGACGAAUUUGUAUGUUCUCAGAUGUUGAUACAGUAGUCUAAACGCGAGGUAAUGAGACCAAGCGUAGAGAACGAUUCGGGAUCCUUGACAAAAUGAAAUGAUUUUUUAAGCAUAAAGAAAGGUUUAUUCGAAAUGAAAUAAUUUUUCGGUAUAUUUAAAUGAUUUGAUAUUAUUUUUACAAAAUGAUUAUGAAAAGGUAUUGUGAAAGGUUUUCAUAAAACCUUAAAGGAUUUAAAAAAAAAGUGGACCAUUCAACUUAAUUCCCAUCCACUAUCCUCUUGUCCAACAUGAAACUUUAUCUUAGUAAAACUUCUUGAUCCACUAUUUUACAAAAAUAUUCAAAACAAUACCAUACUACACCAAAUGUGAUAUUUUGGUAACACUUAAAAUGGUCAGAAAUACCAUUUUCCUGACUUUUUUUUCAUCGACCAUUAAAGAAAAAGUAUAGAUGAUGUUUCACAAAAACUUCCAAACCAUUGUGUUAGUUAUCGUUUUGGAUGAGGGUUGGGGUAGAGCAUCAAUACUCAAAGGUUGUUAAGAAUUAAGACCUAAGACUUGAAAACGAAACCGCCUGCCUGGUUGACAACAACACCAUCCCACUAGAGUGCACAAUGAUGAUUUAUUGCAUUAAGAAGAAGAUGGCAGUUAACCUUAGCGCCAUAAUCAGAACCUCAAUCCUCCCUUUGAUGAAAGCACCUAAAGGUGUCAUGCCUUUCCCCUCUACCACAUUGAAGCUCUUUGUCUAACACUACAAGAAAUGAGGACUCUCUCGAUGCAUAAAAUCAUUGGGAGAUAUAUAAAAAGCGUCAGAAAAGGCUUUUCUGACGCACUAAUAUACGUCGGAACACAAGUGAGGAAAAUGUAUCGGGAGAGGAACUCCGAUGCACAAUGUUGUGCGUUGAGGGUUUCUAGACAUCUUCCGACGUUGUAUGAACGUCGAAGAUGUUGUCAAUAUAGCAUCGAGAGAUGUCUAGGAACCAUGCGUCGGGAGAUCCUCUAUUUUUUUUUAAAAAAAAUAACUUCAUUUAAUUCCUAAAUUCAAAUUGAAAAUUUUAAAUUCAAACUCAACUUCAACACUUCAACCUCAACUUCAACACUUCAAUCUCAACUUCAACACUUCAAAUUCAAAUUUCUAAAACCUACAACUAAUUCAAAAUUCUAACAACACUUGAAAUUAAAUUUCAUUACUAAAACUUACAACUAAUUCAAAAUCUAAAUACUAAAGAAAUCUAAAAUCUAACACCUAAAACAAAUUUGAAAUCUAAAUACUAAAACUAAUUAACUAAAACAAAACAAUAACUAAACUAAACCACUUACCGAUGGCGACGACGACGGGACGACAACAGGGACGACAAUGGUGAUGACAAUGCCCUCUUCUUCUCAAUCUUCCUCUCGGUCUCCCUCUCCCUCUCUCAUUUUCUUUCUCUUUAUGUUUCCUUUAUGUAAAGAAUGGAGUUAAAAAAGACAGAGAACUCCUGACGCACGACGAAAACGUCGGGAAUAGCACCCUAUUCAUGACCUGAUUUGUUAAACGUCAGAAAUCCCUAAACAUAUUCCCACGCGAUUAAUGAUACGUCGGGAAUCCCUAAAUCUAUUCUCAACGUUGCUGCCACACGUAAGAGGAAGGCGUUACAUACAAUUAAUGAUCUGCCCUUCCUCCGACGGUUCCUAAGCUUUUAGCUUUUCUGCAAUCACCCCUUAUGCAUGUUCUCAGGCGAAUCUCAACCAAACCAUAACACUCCAUCAAAAUAAAGAAGAAGAGAGACACCUCAAAACCUUAAAUAAAGUUAAGGGAGAAGAAUGGAAUGACAGAGAAGAAGAAGAGGCUUCUCCGCUGCCACCACUACUCAAGAGGAGAAAUGUCCACGAUGACGCGUCUAACUCGUAUAAAAAGGAAAAAAGUCGAAAGCUAGACGUGGCCAUCGACCCUAAACCUCUUGCAAUCUGACCCCUAACUCUCUCAUUGCCUCCUCCAAAAUCCAAAUCCUUCAAUUCCAGUCCUCAUCCAAAAAUUGAAACUCCCCCUCAUCAAUCUUACCCAAGUCCUCUCGCAUGUCUAUUAUCCUCUCACCACCAAAUCCCCCAUCAUUAUAACAACAUCCUUCACCUCACGACCUGACCGAACAAGCCCUUACCCGAUCAAAAGGGCAUUGUUAGCGAAGAAGAAUUCCUUAGGGUUGAGGAGGAAGACCUGCAUCACAUUCCUCUCCCUCCGCACACUACUAUACGUAAUUCCAAGGAGGAAGACUUACAUCUCGCGUGUAAACACCGAUACCCAAUAAUCCUUAAUUCAUCUAAAGAACUCAAUAGGACAUUAGGGGUUGAUGUUAGGAGAAAGAUGGUUUAAGAUUGGAUAGUUUAGUUGAAGUGUUAUGGAAGAUGUGUUAAUAUUUUUAAGAUGAUAAAAGAAAAGUGUCAUCGUAACAAAGAAAGGCCUAAAGGGUGUUCGAAAAUUGGCUAAGUGUUGGCUAGGGCAUGUUGCAUACUCUAGGCGGCCAAAAGUGUCAAGCGAACCUCUAAAGAGACAUGUUGGGUGGCCAAAGGUUGAGAUGUGGUAUGGCCGAAAGGUGUCAAGACAACCUCUAUAAGACAAGGCUAUAUGACCAAGGGUAUGCGCUAGGCAAGGAAGCUAAGCAUCUAGGAAAUGUCAAGAAACUCUAAAGAAGUUAGAACGUGGAUAAGGAAUGUCAUGCAACAAAGAGGUGGGCUAUGUGGACAUAGGUCAUGCGGCCAAUGGGGCAAUUCAACCAAAUGCUAGUCAAGAUGGCAUGGUUUGUUGAAGGCAUUGAGGGAUGUUUGGGAGAUUAGGCGAGAAAAAAAAGUCUUAGGCAUUCUUGGCAGUAAGAAUUUACUAAAGAACCCUCAUAGAAAAAGGGAUAUGCGUCCAAGGAUGACUUAAGCAAUAUGAGGUAAGAUGUGCGGUAGAGUACAAGUGGACAACAUACAAGAUACCUAAGUUUUGCCAAAUAAGUGUCUUGCAUGAGUUGGAAAGUGGCAAGUAUGGGCGUAAGAGGUGAGAAAAAAAGGUUCAACCAAAGAGCAUGCAAGGAUCACUAUAUGUACAACUUUGGACGAAUUAUGUUAACAAUCAACUUGUGUUAAUUGGGUAACUCUACUUCGAAAAUCUCCUAAAUUGAGUGUAGUAUCAAGAGAAAGGCUACCAAGAAGAAAGGCAUUGAAGUGAAGAAAGACUCAAAGGUCAUUUUCAAAAAAAAAAAAAAAAAAACUUGAACAAUGUAGAGUAUUUUGAGCUACAUAACUCAAUACUUGGAAUUUGUUAGUGACACUUUGUGGUAAGCUAGUGAAGACAUUCUAAGUAAGUUUGUAGAAGGAAUCUUAUUGAUUUAAGCUUCAAAGUCGAGUUAAGUUUCUGGUAGAAAAAUCAUAUUUCUAGACAAGGCCAUGGGUGGGUUGAUUGCCAGGAUGACAAGGUGAGAUGAGCGUGUGUUUUGAGCGAAAGAGGUUAUUUAGGCUUGGGACAUGCAAGAAGCAUGUCCUGGCAUGAUCAAGCAGCCUGAGCCACGCGUCAUUACACACUCUAUUAUGAAAGUUGAGUAUAUUGCUACUUGUGAAGCAGCAAAAGAAGCAGUUUUGGUGAGGAAGUUCUUGCAUAAUUUGGAAGUUGUUCCAAACAUGAACAUGCCCCAUCACUUUAUAUUGUGAUAAUAGUGGGGCAUAUUACUAAUCCAUUUACAAAGACUCUCAUGGCUAAAGUGUUCGAGGGUCUUCUAGAAAGUCUAGAUCUGCGAGUUAUGUACAUUAGGUAAUCUAGGAAAAGUGGCAGAUGUGUAAUGGGUAUGAGGAUGCCCUAGUUUAUUGUAUUUGUAUAUACACAUUUUAUGUAAUACACUUGUACAUUUUACCAUUUUCAAUGUUAGAGGAUUACUUUAUUAUGAACAUCCCAAAGAGACGAGAGUUUUAGUCCAAGUGGGAGUUUGUUGGAAUUUAUGUCCUAAAACUCGUAGAUUGUAAAUAUAAUCCAUUGACCAUUGUUAAUAAAGUGUUAUUAUUGUAAUAAUUGUUAUUGAUUAUAUUAUUAGUUUUGUCUUAAUAACUCAAAUCCAAUAAACUAACAUCCUAAACUGUUUAAUAAGUAUUGAAUAGUAUGUAGAGACAUACAGGGAUCAAUGUUCGAGAUCAGCUUAAAGGGUCUAUAGUAUACGGAUAAGACUGGGUACCUUUAUCCUGGUAACAUUAUGAAUACGACUCACUUUGUAUUUGAUACAAAUACAAUGAUCCAAUGUGUUCAUGUAGUUGACAUGCGAGUGAAGGUAUCCUAUGCAAUGAGAUUGCAAUAGACUAGACUGUGAAAUAGUAACCACUUGGUGUUACUACAUUAACUAGUUAGGUUUCUAUUUCACUAGGAUGACCUAGAUAACUUAGUCUUAAUCUUGAGUGUAUUAUGAACUCAAUGAUCUUGGAUGAAUUUGACUUCAAAUACAAACUUGGAUUCCACAACCUAAACCAAAAUAAAAUAAUAUAUCAUGUUAAGAUGGAUUCACAUAGCAACAUUUUAUCAAAUGGUUGCAAUGUUUCAAAUAAGCAACAAUUAAAAUUCACAUAUCGAUUUGGCAUCUAUAAAUAUACAAACUAAAAAGUACCUAAAUGUCAAUUAUUUACCCAAUAAGGCUAACUAAGUAACCAACGUCUAAUAUGUUUUGCAAUGAAAAAGGUUGCCAUAUUGUUAAUUUGGCCAUAUUGUGAAGGCAACCUCUUAGAUGUGUUUGUGAGAAAGGAAAGAAAUACCAAAAUAAGUAUGGACUAAGAUAGUAUCAAAUAAAGUUAAAGUUGAAUUUUAAAGCUCUAUUUUUUUCAAGAUAGAGAAAUUUCAGCUAAAGAGGAAAACACUAAGGACAACCAAGCAAAAAAGUCUAACAAAUAUCAAAAGAGAACAUGCAGGAAAGAAAGAAUGUAAAUAAGGUUUUAUCCGCACCAAGCAAAAAAGUCUAACAAGUAUCAAAAGCUUCAUAAGUUGUACUAGAAUUCAAAGCUCUAAACUCUAAAGAAUGUAAAUUUCUUUGAAGAAAUUUGUGUAUAAAGGUCACACAGUUGAAAAUUCAAUACCUUUUCAAGAAUGUUGUUGAGAAGAUUAUUGUGAUGAAUCUUUGAAUCCAAAUUAUGGAGACAAGAUAAAUAAAUGAGUUCUGAUUCUAACUGACUGAAUGAGAGUUUAGAAAAUAAGAACAUUGGAGUUGAAUUAUCAGCAUUUAUUUUAAUCAAACUUACGAUAGCAAACCAAAUUAUAGAGAGAGAUCAAAUGCUAGGAUAAAGGAAUAAUCUUACAUUUGGUGAGUUCCCAAAUGUUGUGGUAGUCACGAGAGUUAUUCCACUCGAAUUGUCUUAGACAAGAGGCUUCCAUUCAGCAAGUACUGGUGAGAAUUAAAGUGGAAUGACAAACUUAAAAACACCUAAUCUUUAACAAACUUUUCCGACUUUUUGCAAUUAUUUUUUAACACAAGAUAUCAAAACACACUUAAAAACCAUAACAACCAAUUACCAUAAAACGGUGUCCAAUAACAAUAAUUGGGUCAACCCAAACAUCAUCAAAUUCUUGGGAAAGGUUGUGGACUAGACCUUCACCAUCUUGCCCCUAAAACAAGUUAAAGCUUAAGGAAAGAACACAGUAGAAACAAAAAUCAUAAACUCAUCAGUUAGAUAGUAUUGGUGGUCAAAACCUCAAGGUCUCACUUCUUCCAUUUUAUAUUACCAAAUUUGAAAAUGAUUUUUAAUAUAUGAUCAUUACUUGAAACAUGUUGGUGUACAAGUGUGAAUGAAACUAAAUCAAGUUUGUGUUUUAUGUUAUUGUUUUUGACAGUAUAUUUAUGUGCUAUGCAAUCCAUGAGAGUAUAUUUAUGUGCUAUGCAAUCCAGAAGGGGGAAUGCAAGCUAUACCCAAUUCAUAAUUGUAUUUGGAACACUAAUGAUUUUAGCACAAAUUCCAUCUUUCCAUUCUCUAAGACAUAUAAACCUUAUCUCCCUCACUCUAUACCUUGGCUAUAGUGCUCUUGCAACAUAUUAAAAUUCUCGUAAUUAAAAAUUCAUACACAAUUUAAAUUAAAUUAAACAUCAAGACCCCUGACGAAGAUGAAUCUCUGUUCAUUUUUCUUUUUAUUAACAAACAAAAGUUUUUAGGUCAACUUCUUUCAACAACCUCCUCAAGGAUCCUUAAUUAUCUCUUUCCAAGUUCAUAACCACUCUAGUCAUGCAAAGAUUAAGGUUCAUGGCCAAUCAACAAUUAAUCUGUGAUUAAGAUAUUAUGAACGCUAUUCACAUAAAAACAUGAAAAGAUUAAGAGCAAAUAAUCAGAUGCAUUACAAAGAAUAAUUCAUAAACUUUGUCUACAUCUAUCCCUAGGAUUAAGAGUUUAGCUACCCCAUACUUCACAAUCUAAAACACAAAACUCAAUACAAUACCCAUAAAAAAAAUUAAAGGAGAAGAAAAAGAAAACGAAGAAGAAAAGCUAGUGAUUCGUAUUAUUAUAAUACUGUGUAUAACAGUAUGUGUUUUUUAAUAUUCUCUGUUUCCAGCUCCAAUGUACCAAAAUAUUAUCACAAACUCCACAAUCCUUCUCUUUCCAAUCCCUAAACUAACCAAUGAAUCAUAUUCGCACGCUUGGUAGCCUUGUUCAAAAUAUUAUAUAUUACAAUUAUAAUAACUUGUAUCCCCCCUUUUCAAGCCUAAAAUGCAAAACCUUUCUUCCAUUCUCUAAGGCAUAUUUCCUCUUCUUUAAUUUUGCAUUCCAAUUUUAAAUUACAAAUUACAAAUUUUAAUCACAAAGGAAAAAAGGAAAAUUAUUACCUUUAGAAAGGGAAGAAAAUAAAUGAGUAACCAUGAAGGAUUUGGAAACGAAUAGAGGUUUAGCGAAAGUGGAAUGCGACAGAAGGACGGUGAAUGUGUUUACUCGUUUUCGAACAGAGAAUGUGUUUACGCAUUCCGAACGGUGAACAGACGGACGCAAAUCAACGAAGGUGAAGGGAACGCAAAGCAGACGGACGGUGACGGACGAUGAACGCAAAUGAAUGAAGGUGAAUGCUUAUGAACGCGAAGGGAAGUCUUUUCCGGCGAUGAACGCAGAUGAAUGCACAGAUGAACGCGAAGGGAAGGUUAGGUGAACGACGCUUUUGAUUUCGGGUGGAGAAGGGACAAAGUCGCGGCGAAUUAGGUUUAAUUAAGAAAAGGGGAAGUGAUCUAAUUGAAACGUUGGGUUUUGUAAAAGAAUAUUAACACAAUAAUUUUUUAGAAAUUUCUUGACGUUUUUAAAACGUCAAAAACAAAUUAAAAUUUCUUGAACUUUUUAAAACAUCAAUGAUUUUUUAGAAUUAUCUUGACGUUUUAAAAACGUCAAGAAUUUUUUAUAAAUUUCUUGACGUUUUUAAAAAUGUCAAGAACUUUUUAGAAUUAUCUCGACAUUUUAAAAACGUUAAGAAUUUUUAUAAAUUUCUUGAUGUUUUUAAAACGUCGAGGAAAACUAUAUAUUAUUGACGUUUAAAAAACAUCAAGAAAGUUGAAUUCAUAAACAUUCUUGACGUUUUUUAAACGUCAAAAAUUAUUAGAUAUUUCUUGAUGUUUAAAAAACGUCAAGAAAAAGUACAUCUUACUUGACGUUUAAUUGCAUAAAAAACGUCAAGAAAAAACGUCAAGAAAGUUGAAAAUUGGCCUUUCAUAAAAAUUCUUGACGCUUUUUUAUUUGAAAUCACAUCUUUCUUGACGUUUUUGGGAAAAAACGUCAAGAAAGGAAAACUACAACCGUCAAGAGAGCCUGUUUUUGUAGUAGUGAUUUUGGGGACAAGACUGAGUGGGGAGUUGGGAUUAUAAUUGCACAAAAUGGAAUUCACUCAUUUCCUACUGUAGGAUAAGUAGAUGAAUGUUAGCUUAAAUGGUGUCUCCAAAACUUAAACAAAGGGCCCGUACUCUCUCUAUGACAUGAGAGGGGUUUUUGUUUAUUAGUAGGACCAUAAACAAGUUGUUCAUUAGAGGAGCACUAGUUUUUAAGGAUUAGAGGUAACAUAGGGGUAAAGCGGUAAAUUGAUCCAACUGGUGUUACAAACACUCGUGAAGGACUAACUUACUAUUAUUGGUCUAUAUCCGUGGACACAGAAAUAUAUUUUUAGUGAGAAGAGUUCAGUUGUGAGUCUUUAGUGGAGUGUACACACAACUAACGAAUAUUGAUUAAUGUGGUUAAUGAGUUUAGCCAAUUAAUCUUAGAUCGUUGUAGCUUCUGAUCUGUAGGUCCACUAGGUCCCUUUCCUAGCUCGUAAAGGGUAAUGAGAUUUAUUUGUAUUAGUUGUAAUUUAAAAUGUUUAAAUUUAACUUGGGAAUUAGUAUAAUGUAUAGUGAUACAUUAUAAUAUAAAGUUUAUCAAACUUUACUAUAUAAAUUUAACUUUGGGGAUGAUUUAAAAUUAAUUUAUGAGAGAUAAAAUAUUUGAAUGAGUUCAAAUAUUAAUUUAAUGUAAAUUGGAUUCAUAUUAAAAUUAUUGAGAGAAACUUAUAUUUGAAUAUGAUUCAAAAUUAAUUUAAGUUAAAUAUAAGAUAAAUAAUUUAAUGUUAUUAGUUAAUUGGAGAAUUAAUUAAUAGUUUAGUUUAAUAUUAUUUAAUUAAAUGUGAUUUCAUUAAUUAUUAACUAAUUGAUUAAUGUUUAAUUAAUCAGUAGAUUUGAAAUAUAUAUUAAUUUAAUUGUUUGUAAAUUAAUAGAAUCUCAUAGUUCUCUUCUACUUCAUUUUUUAUUCCUAGAAGGAAAGAGAGUUAUAAUAUCUAGAAGAAAACAAUUUUCUUAAAAAAUGAAUAUAAUAAAAAAAGAAAAAAUAAGGCUAACGCUAUUGCUCUUUGCAAAAAGAAAAGAGUUUCUCUCAAUAUCUCUAAACUUUUUCCCAUCCCAAUUGGUUCCACAAACCAAUCUUAUCACAGAGGUACUCUUUGCAAUUUAAGCUCUCUUUGCAAUGGACAGUCUUCAAAGUUUUUUUAACGAUGUUUCUAAUGCUUUCCUUUCUCUCUCAUGUUUAAUAAAACAAAUUUCUCUUAAAACCUGUAGGGAGGCUACAUCGUAUCGAAUUUCAUACAACUGACGUGUUCAUCGAGUUACAACAAGUGCCGCACAAUAGUCUGUUCCAUGUUUGAAAAGUUGUGAGUGUGACACGCUGCACAUGAGGUUAGAACGAGACAUGGCAAGGCAAGCUCUACGCGCACCUGCCAACUUCUGCCACAAUAUUUUGUACGCAAGCUAAUGUCUUUGGGCUGUUUUUAUGGUAUUUGGAAAUUUUAAGCAAAGUUUUGAUAUUUUUAUGAUCAACAGGAAUUAAAUGGAAUUAUUUCCCAUUAUUUUCAUUAUUUUAGAUCAGAAGGAGAUCGAACAAAUUUAUAAGCCAAGGGUCCAAGCUACUCUCUAUAAGUGACAAAAAUGAGUUUAAAGUUGAUUUCUAAACAUGAAUUUACUAUCAAAUGUUUCAAGCAUGCUUUGAUGUUUGAAUAUUUGAGGAUACUGACUUAUAAAGUAUUUCCAAAGCAUGAAUUUAGAAACAUUUUGGUAAUGAAAAUUAUAAGCAAUCAUGAUUGUGCUAAGUUAUCAAAAUGUUUAAGCUUGAAAAUAAUAUUAGCAUGUUUUAGUCUAUACCUAAAAUAUUCUAAGAUAUAUAGCAACCCUUCGGGAGAGAUUUUCUUGUGCAUAGAGGUCAUUUGAUUUGGAUAUUCAGUAAAUACCUAGCUUUCCAUCAUUGGUAUUAGAUAAGAGAUGAAGACUUCUAAAGAUGCUUAGUUUCCCAUCUCAAGGGACGAGACCCUGUACGAAUGCCUAGUUUCCAUCUCAUUGUAGUUAUAACGAGAUAGGGCACAAUUGAUGCCUAGAGUUUCAUCUCGUAAGUAUCGUAUCACGGGAUAGGGCUUCUAUGCCUAGUUUAUUGUUUUUCGUCUUGACGAUUCUAGUAUAGCAACUGAAAGGGAAAGUUUGAGAUAAGUUGUUUGAGUUUGAUUUCAUUUAUGUUAAGAGUUAAUUGUUAAAUACUUAUUAUUUCAAACAAUGUUUUAUAAAACAAUCACUCAUUGGGCUAUUUAGCUCACUCUUUGGAUAAAUAUCCCCAUAUGGAUUACGUUGUUUGGAAAAUUAAACUGUCUUUAGUACUUCAAAGAAAACUUCCCUCCCAUGUCCUCUCACCUCAUGUCAUCCCAUUUGUGUUGAUAACAUGAAAAAUAUUUAGCACCUUUUAAUUGAUUAUGUCUUUGUAUCGAAAUGUUGGUUCCGUCUUCUCCAAACAUUCAAUAUUUGUUGGGAUUUUUUGCUCAAUCAAGGCUUAUUCUUGUUUGUUCUCGACCUGCUACCUAUGAUUUAUGAUUUUGUUUUGGACAUAUUAUUUUAUCAUUUUGUUUGGUUUUAUAUUUGUGGCUUUUUUUUUGUUUUGUUUUGUGUUUUGUUUUUUUUUUUUUUUGAAAAGGAGACAACCUCUUUAUUAAUAUUAAAAUAAUAAAAUAAUUAGACAAAAGCUCAUGGUACAAGAGAGUUAUACAAUGAACAUGUAACCAUGGAUCAGAGGGUGCACCUUGGCAUCUCAACUAGGUUGACACCCCCAUAGCACCCUCAUCAUAUCCAACCAAGCUAAAACCCAUAACAAAGGAGUAAUGUCCAAAGGCAAAACAAACACAAAAAAAGCCUUCUAUUUGUGGCUUUUGUUUUGAUCUUGUGUUGUCGCUUUUUGGAUGUGAUGAGGGCGCUAAGGGGGUGUCAACACUCAAACCUUAUGACGUAACAAAUGCAAAUUUUAUGACGUUUUUAGGGGUAGUCCCUCCCAUUACUAGCUCAACACUCAAACGGAGUCUCCUGUAUAAAAUAUAAAAUAAUACAGACACAAAUAGUGAAUGAAAUCUUAUGACGUAACAAAUGCAAAUUUUAUGUAUACUGCAAUUGACUAAAUAUUGAACAAGAAAGCCCAAGGGAAUACAAAAAAAUCCAACGUUUUUAGGGGUCAAUUUGAAAAAUGGCAAAAUUACUUUUUCUUUUCAAUUUUAGCAAACAACAUUUUUUGCACGUGCAUGGUAUUUUAUAAAAUACCAGAAUAUCAACAUUCUUCAACUGUAGUUAUUUCGUUUCUACAUUGUAAUUAAUUUAUGUUAUGCAUUUAUCAGUUUUUAAUUAUCUUUUACUUGAAAUAGAUACAUCAACUCAUAUCAUAAUAUUUUUCUUAAUAUCUCGAGUCUCAACUAAUUAAUUCACAUAUUAAUAACUUUAUUCAAUCAUACUAAUUUCAAAAUAACCUAAUUGAAUUUGAAUUUCAAAAUAACAAAAUUAUUAUUUUUCGGAAUUUGAGAGUCUCAACGAUAGAUUUUGUAUUAAAAUAACCUUAAUUGAAUUUCAAAAAUAAAAAAUAUCAACAUGUUCACUAUCUUUAUCUCAAAAUAACAUUAAUGCCUUGAAUAUCAAGAUAAUUAAAUUAUUAUUUAAAAUUGGAAGAAACUCAACAUUAAAAAAUAUUAACUUGUUCGCACACAAGCAUAGAAGCACUGCGCACACACGUACACAUGCACACUUACACACACGCGCACACACGCACAUCUACACACAGACACCCACAGACACACGAACGCAUGCACAUACACAUGCACACGCGCACGCAUGCACAUACACAUGCACACGAGCACGCAUGCACACGCACACACCUAUCCACACGCGCGCACAAGCACACACACAUGCACAAACGCACACACGCGUACGCACAAACGCACACACUUAUACACAUACGCACACGCGCACAAACACGCACGCACGAGCACACACACACCUAAGCACACACGCAAUAGCCUGCGCACACACACGCACGCACAAACACAUACAAACAUGCACACACCCACACAUAUAUGCACACGGACACUCGCAACAAACGCACGCACAUACACAUACGCACACCUACCUACACGCACACACGUACACACGCACAUAUGCAUAAAGAUGUAUAAAUGAGUUAAAAUUAAAAAAAAACUACAUUAAUUGUGUUUAGAAGGACUUUUAAACCAUGUUCAUUUGACUUAAUAACAUUAAUUAAACUAUAAUUUCUAUCAAUAUUGGCUUAAAAAGUGUCAUUCGUGUAAUUAUUUCAAUAUAAUGCGAUUUUAUCCAAUUCUAUUUGCAACAAACAGGUCGAAUAUGAACCAGUAGAUAUACAUGUCAUAAGAGAUAUAGGAACAUUUUUAUGGUCAUUUUGAAAAAUGCAAAACUUUUUGUAACGACCCAACUUUUCUAGGUAAGUCGAGGUCAUUAAUUUUUAAUAAAAGACUUUGUUGAUACAAAAUGAAGCGUAAGUCAAUUUAAAAAAAAAUAUGUCAGGCCUGAUUUUCAAAUAUCAAGAAAACUUAAAAAUAACACUAUUUACAAAUAAAAGUUUGUAAACUAAGUUUUUAGUACAUCUUAAACCUUAAAAGAAACAUAAGCGGAAGCAAAAUACACAUUUCCUAUGGCAAUCACGCUUCCUUCCUGCCCCUCGCCGGUUUGCCACCUUUAUUUCCUUUGCCUGAAAAUUAAACAUAAGAAGGGUGAGUAUUUUAAAUACUCAGUAAGAGACCCUAUACUGGUCUCGUCAGGGAAAAUAAAUUGUUAAAGUUCUAUUGGGACACCCUGUACAGUCGCAGUCUUGUGAUCCCGUAGGAUACACAUUCAGUCUAACGCCCCGAAGGACGUACAUAUCAGUCUGACGCCCCGAGGGACGUACAUAUCAGUCUAACGCCCCGAGGGACGUACAUAUCAGUCUAACGCCCCGAGGGACGUACAUAUCAGUCAAGUGUUCUGCAGAAACACAUAUCAGUCAAAUACUCCCGAAGGUGCAAAAUAAAUUGGUGAUCCCGUGGGACACCUACAAGGUAAACAUCCCAAUACAACCUAACAAUUUAUCCCCUCAUUCCAUUCAACCCAUCUUUCAGUUACUUCAAAUCACAAAGUCCUUUCUUUCAACAUCCUAACAGUCAACUUAUUUUACUACAGUCAUAUGUCUGUCAAUAAUAUGCUAAUACAUCAGUCAAUCACUAUACAGUCAAGUCAAUACACCCCUCAGUUCACCAGCACAAACCACAGUUCAGUAUAAUCCACAUCCAACUGAAACAAAUUCACUAGUUCACAUCCAAUCUUUAUACAGCACAAUCUAUUAAUAUCAUCAUGUACACAGAAGCAUAAUUUCAGUCAUUCACAUGUAUACUUUCGGCAAUCCACAUCAAUUCACACAUCAAUGUAUAUAUAUAUGUUUCCAGUCAAAUACAACAUACACUAAACAUUUAGUCUGCAAUCAAACAUGUACAUCUUAAUCAUCAUCCAUACAGUCCAACACAACUCAAAAACUUUAGGUAAGUCCAGUAGAAAAUCCCUUACCUCACUUUUAUGCAAGUUCUUCAAUCUACUAAAUCCAAUGAAUCAAAUCCUAAACAUAAUCAAUCAUAAAAUCAACAUCUUUCUAAAUAGUUUCAACCAUUCAAAUUACCCCAUAUGUAAAUUCCACAACUUACCCAAGAAGUGGAAAAUCAAGUCCACUUCAACCUUUUGGAAAAUCAAGGAUUCGCUCACUGAAUCAAGAUGUACCUUCAAGAAUUAAGCAUUUCGCCAACAAUUAAAUCCAAUGGCAGCAUCCAACAAAAACCAAGAAACCAACAAAAACCAUAACUUGUUCUUACCCAAAUAUGAGCCCAAUGGUUCACGGCGAGGCAGAUCUGGACGACGAUUUGCUUUGCGAGGGAGGCACGACGGUUGUGAGCGAGAGGCACGACGGUUACAGGCGGAUGGGCGCGACGGUUUAGAUCUGAAGAAGAAAAGAGAGGGUGGCGGUUGGGUUCGGCGAGCGGCGGCGGUUUUGCUUCGCGAACGGAGAUGGAGACGGCAAUUCGGCGCGCGGGACGACUGCAACGCAAAUCUGGACUGGCAGCGGCACGGUCUUGCUUCGCGGCUGGGUAUGGUGAAAAAGAAAGAGAAACGGAAGAAGAGAAGUCUCGGGUGGCGGUUGCUGGGCUACGGCGGUUGCUGGGCUGCGGCGGAAGGAGAAAAUGGAAGGAAGAGAUCGGCGGAAAGAAGGAGAAGAUGGAUGGGAGUCACGAUCGCACGGGAAGAAGAAGGGAGAAAAGAAAAGAAAAGAAAAGAAGAAAAGAAAAAUAAUAAAGAAAUUUUUAAUAUAAAGUAAAAUAAAAAUAUAUAUAUAUAUAUAUAUAUAUAUAUUACCUUUUUGGGCAUUACAUUCUUCCCUCCUUAAGAAACUUUCGUCCUCGAAAGUUCUAAUCCUGAAAUAACUCUGGAUAACGAGUCCUCAUUUCUUCCUCUCGCUCCCAUGUCGCCUCUUCAAUUCGAUGAUUCCGCCACAAAACCUUUACUAAUGGAAUGCUUCUAUUACGAAGCAUCUUUACCUCUCUAGCCAAAAUCUCCACAGGUUGUUCAACAUAGCUCAAAUGCUCGUCAAUCUCCAAGGUUCAUAGUCCACUACAUGAGAUGUAUCGGCCACAUACUUCCUCAACAUCGAAACAUGGAAAACAUUAUGAACUGCAGAGAGAGAUGGUGGUAAUGCCAAGCGAUACGCCACAACACCAACCCUCUCUAAGAUCUCAAAUGGUCCAACAAAACGAGGACUUAACUUUCCCUUCUCAAAACGCAUAACACCCUUCAUAGGUGCUACCUUCAAGAAUACCUUUUCUCCCACAUCGAACUUAAGGUCUUUUCGCCGUACAUCUGCAUAACUCUUCUGUCUACUCUGCGCUGUUUGCAUACGCGUCCUAAUCGUUUGAAUAGCCUCAUUAGUAGACCGAACUAAUUCAGGUCCCAUCAAUCUAUGUUCACCAACCUCACUCCAACAAACAGGGGUUCUACAACAUUUGCCAUACAAAGCCUCAAAUGGUGCCAUACCGAUGGUAGCCUGGAAACUGUUGUUAUAAGCAAACUCCAUCAAAUGUAGAUGAGAGUCCCAACUACCUGGAAACUCUAUAACACAAGCUCGUAGCAUAUCCUCUAAAACUUGGUUCAAACGUUCAGUUUGACCAUCAGUCUGUGGAUGAAAGGCUGUACUGAAAUCCAAUCUCGUACCCAUAGCAGUCUGAAGUCCCUUCCAAAACUUGGAAGUAAACCGUGCAUCCCUAUCAGAAACAAUCGAUACAGGCACUCCAUGCAGUCUCACAAUCUCAGUUAAAUACAACUCUGCCCACUUACUAGCAGUAUAAGUGGAUUUUCCUGGUACAAAAUGUGCCGAUUUCGUAAGCCUGUCUAUGACAACCAGAAUCACUGUGAAACCCUUCAGGGUCUUAGGCAGCCCUGAAAUAAAAUCCAUCGACACAUUCUCCCACUUCCACUCUGGCACACUUAAGGUUGUAAUAAACCUGCUGGUUUCUGUCUAGGUGCCUUAACUUGCUGACAUACUAGACACUUACUAACAAAUUCCGCCACUUCCCUUUUCAUAUUCCGCCACCAAUAAAAUCGUUUUAGAUCCUGAUACAUUUUCGUGCUACCAGGAUGCAUGGAAAAUGGGGAAUUAUGGGCUUCAUCUAGUAAGUCAAUCUUAACUGUACUGUUCGCUGGCACACAUAAACGUCUCUCAAACAUCAACCCACCAUCAGAGGAUAUGGAGAACUCAUCAGUCUGCCCUGUUUCAACAAGGCGACGUCUCUCCAUCAAAUAAGGAUCAUUACUCUGAGCAUCAACAAUCUUGUGCCUCAGAGUCGGUUGCACCGUUAAUUGAGCUAGCUGUGAGGUGACUCUCCCCACAGACACUGCAAUCUCAGCUCUCUCCAAGUCUCGAUGCAAUGGUACCUGUCUAGUAAUGAGUGCUGCCGAAUGUGAUACUUUUCUACUAAGAGCAUCAGCCACCACAUUCGCCUUACCAGGAUGGUAUAAUAUCUCACAGUCAUAAUCUUUUACCAACUCGAGCCACCUUCGCUGUCUCAUAUUCAACUCCUUCUGAGUGAAGAAGUACUUUAGGCUCUUAUGGUCAGUAAAGAUUUGUAUCUUUUCACCGUACAAGUAAUGUCUCCAUAUCUUCAAUGCAAAAACCACUGCUGCCAACUCCAAAUCAUGUGUGGGGUAGUUCUGCUCGUGACUCUUCAACUGACGAGAGGCAUAAGCAACCACCUUACCUUUCUGCAUCAAAACACAACCCAGUCCUUUCUUGGAAGCAUCACUGUAAAUCACAAAACUUCCAGAUCCAUCUGGUACAGUAAGGACCGGUGCAGUAACUAACCUUUGCUUUAAGUUCUGAAAACUAUCCUCACAAGCUGGACUCCAAACAAACGGAGUUCCCUUCCUUGUCAACUGAGUCAAAGGAGUAGCCAAACGUGAAAAAUCCUCCACAAACCUCCGGUAAUACCCUGCUAAACCCAGAAAACUACGAACCUCACUAACUGUGAGGGUCGAGACCAACUGGUAACCGCUUCUAUCUUUGCAGGGUCUACUGAAACUCCCUCACUGGAAACCACAUGACCAAGAAAAGCCACCUGCUUCAACCAAAAUUCGCACUUAGAACUUAGCAUACAGUUUAUUGACUCGAAGAGUCUCUAACACCUUAUGUAAGUGUUCCUCAUGUUCGGCUUCAGUCUUGGAAUAAACCAAAAUAUCAUCAAUGAAGACUAUCACAAAAGUGUCCAAGAAAUCCUUAAACACCCUGUUCAUCAAAUCCAUAAAUACAGCAGGUGCAUUAGUCAAACCAAAAGACAUUACUAUGAAUUCAUAAUGUCCAUACCUCGAACGAAAAGCAGUCUUAGGAAUAUCACGGUCUCUAAUCCUCAACUGGUGAUAACCUGACCGUAAGUCAAUCUUAGAGAACACCGUGGCUCCCUGUAACUGAUCGAACAAAUCAUCGAUUCUGGGUAAAGGAUACCUGUUCUUGACUGUUACUUUAUUCAACUCUCUAUAGUCAAUGCAAAGACGCAUCGACCCAUCCUUCUUCUUCACAAACAAUACUGGUGCACCCCAAGGUGACACACUAGGUCGAAUAAAGCCUUUGUCAAGCAAUUCCUGUAACUGUACCUUCAGUUCUUUCAACUCAGCAGGAGCCAUCCUAUAAGGGGCUCUAGAAAUAGGAGUAGUGUUUGGCUCCAACUCAAUGGCAAAAUCAAUCUCUAUGUGGCGCAGUCCUGGAAGAUCUUUUGGAAAUACAUCUGGGUAUUCUCUUACCACAGGUUCUGAAGUUAAAGAAGUCUCACCUUCCCUAGUAUCCACCACACUUGCCAAAAUACUCCAAGUACCCUGGCUGAGUAGUUUACUAGCUUUCAUAGCUGAGAUUACUUUAGGCAGUACUACUGUUCCUACUCCCUUGAAUUUAAAGCUAGAUGCAGUAGGGGGACUAAACACAACUUCCUUACGAGAACAAUCAAUACUAGCAUGAUUAGUAGCUAGCCAAUCCAUACCUAAAAUUACAUCAAAGUCACGCAUAUCUAAUACCAACAAGGUUACGUCCAGCACACGACCAGCUAUCUCAAUUUCACAUGCUUUAAUCUUUUCCUUAGACAACAUAAUUUCUCCAGACGGUGUAGACACUGACAAAACAUAGUCUAAGGGUUCCACCUCUAAGCAUGCAUGCGUCACAAAAAGCGAUGAAAUAAAUGAAUGAGAAGAUCCCGAGUCAAACAAGGUCAAGGCAAAAUGCCCUAAUACUGGUAAUGUACCUGUCACUACUGUGCCGGCCUUCUCUGCCUCUGAUCUAUUAGUGGCAAAGAUUGUACCCCGCUGUGGAGGUCUCUCUCCCUGACUGCUCGAUCCAGCCCCAGUAGAUCUCAAGGGACACCUAUCAGCCAUGUGUCCCUCUUGCUUGCACUUAUAACAGACUCUCGUUCCCAUCAAACAACGACCCAGGUGGCGUUUCCCACACGUAUUACAUACUGGCCUCUCUUGAGUAGUGUCUCCUGCACCGCCAGAACUCUGCUGGAAACUGCGAAAAGAAUCACCUGGUCUCAUGUUCCUCUGAGGAACUCCUACAGUUCUCUGCUCUACUUUUCUCUUUUGACCGACGACGAUCCCUUAUUAAAGCUCCUUGGCUGUCUUUCAUCCUUCCCAAUACUCAUAUCCACUGCCAGACGCAGUGCUUCAGCUUGGGUAGUGGGCUUUAGUGCUCGCACAAAACCCCUAAUUUCAUCUCUCAAUCCCUUGACGAACCUAUCAGCUCUAGCCUGCUCAUUACUAACAAGCUCAGGGGCAAAACGUGACAGCAUAUCAAACUCCUGGUCGUACUCCUCGACUGUCAUAUAUCCUUGCUUCAACUCCAAGAAUUCCUGGCUUUUGGCGUCUCUAAGGUUAGCCGAGAAAAACUUGGUAUAGAAGCAGUUCUUAAACUGAUCCCAGGUAAUUUGCCUCACAUCUCCACCUAGCAUGCGCAUUGUAGUCCUCCACCAGAUAAUGCCUCUGUCCCUCAGUAGAAAAGCAGCACACUGAACUCUGUGCUCCUCGGACAUCUCAUGUAAUUAAAUAUGGUUUCCACAGAGGACAACCACAUUUCAGCUUUAGUAGGAUCCUCCAGUGACCCAUCAAACGUCUGAGGGUCAUACUUCCGAAAGUCCCUCAAAUGUUUCGCCUCAGCAGAAAGUUGGUUAGGUAAUUCUUGUGCAGGAGGGGCUGCUGGUGCAGGGGAACUACAGGUGCAGGUGGAACCAGGUGCCUGCUGGUUUUGAGCUAUAGCUGUCAUAAGUUCUGUAAACCUCUGCUCCAUGUGAGCAGACAGUGCAUCAAACUCAACGUGAGUCACGGGUGCAGCAGGAAUUCGCUGUUCAGCUUGACCCUCAGUAGGCUGAUUACGACCUGCUCCUCUACCUCGGCCUCCUGCUCUCUACGACCUCCUCUACGUACUUCUUCCCUUGGCGGCAUAAUUCCUAUUACCACCAACAACACUCUUUAACAAAAUCUUAAUCAUAAACAUAAGCAAGUCUUUAUCGUCAUGCAAUCUAGUUUAAUUUAGGCAAGGUCAUGCAAAUAAACCAUACAUAUAAGCAUCAAGCAUACCUGACGAGAGACGAAGGGUCGCGUUAGCCAUAGGAACACAAAAACAUAGACUUACAUCGUAAGUCAGUCUACAGAACCUAAAACUUAGGCUCUGAUACCAACUGUAACGACCCAACUUUUCUAGGUAAGUCGAGGUCAUUAAUUUUUAAUAAAAGACUUUAUUGAUACAAAAUGAAACGUAAGUCAAUUUAAAACAAUCUAUGUCAGGCCUGAUUUUCAAAUAUUCAAGAAAACUUAAAAAUAACACUAUUUACAAAUAAAAGUUUGUAAACUAAGUUUUAGUACAUCUUAAACCUUAAAAGAAACCAUAAGCGGAAGCAAAAUGACACAGUUCCUAUGGAAUCACGCUUCCUUCCUCCCCCUCGCCGGUUUGCCACCUUUAUUUCCUUUGCCUGAAAAUUAAACAUAAGAAGGGUGAGUAUAACAAUACUCAGUAAGAGACCCUUACUGUCUCCGUCAGGGAAAAAUAAUUGUUAAAGUUCUAUUGGGACACCCUGUACAGUCGCAGUCUUGUGAUCGCGUAGGAUACACAUUUCAGUCUAACGCCCCGAAGGACGUACAUAUCAGUCUAACGCCCCGAGGGACGUACAUAUCAGUCUAACGCCCCGAGGACGUACAUAUCAGUCUAACGCCCGAGGGACGUUCAUAUCAGUCUAGUGUUCUGCAGAAACACAUAUCAGUCAAAUGCUCCCGAAGGUGCAAAAUAAAUUGGUGAUCCUGGGACACCUACAAGGUAAACAUCCCAAUACACAACCUAACAAUUUAUCCCUCAUUCCAUUCAACCCAUCUUUCAGUUACUUCAAAUCACAAAGUCCUUUCUUCAACAUCCUAACAGUCAACUUAUUUUACUACAAUCAUAUGUCUGUCAAUAAUAUGCUAAUACAUCAGUCAAUUCACUAUACAGUCAAGUCAAUACACCCCUCAGUUCACCAGCACAAACCACAGUUCAGUAUAAUCCACAUCCACACCGAACAAAUUCACUAGUUCACAUCCAAUCUUUAUACAGCACAAUCUAUUAAUAUCAUCAUGUACACUAAGCAUAAUUUCAGUCAUUCACAUGUAUACUUUCGCAAUCCACAUCAAUUCACACAUCAAUGUAUAUAUAUAUGUUUCCAGUCAAAUACAACAUACACUAAACAUUUAGUCUGCAAUCAAACAUGUACAUCUUAAUCAUCAUCCAUACAGUCCAACACAACUCAAAAACUUUAGGUGAGUCCAGUAGAAAAUCCCUUACCUCACUUUUAUGCAGUUCUUCAAUCUACUAAAUCCAAUGAAUCAAAUCCUAACAUAAUCAAUCAUAAAAUCAACAUCUUCUAAAUAGUUUCAACCAUUCAAAUUACCCCAUAUGUAAAUUCACAACUUACCCAAGAAGUGAGAGAAUCAAGUCCACUUCAACCUUUUGGAAAAUCAAGGAUUCGCUCACUGAAUCAAGAUGUACCUUCAAGAAUUAAGCAUUUCGCCAACAAUUAAAUCCAAUGGCAGCAUCCAACAAAAACCAAGAAACCAACAAAAACCAUAACUUGUUCUUACCCAAAUAUGAGCCCAAUGGUUCACGACGAGGCAGAUCUGGACGACGAUUUGCUUUCCGAGGAGGCACGACGGUUGUGAGCGAAGAGGCACGGCAGUUACAGGCAGAUGGCGCGCGACGGUUUAGAUCUGAAGAAGAAAGAGAGGGUGGCAGUUGGGUUCGGCGAGCGGCGGCGGUUUUGCUUCGCGAACGGAGAUGGAGACGGCAGUUCGGCGCGCGGGACGAUGCAACGCAAAUCUGGACUGGCAGCGGCACGGUCUUGCUUCGCGGCUGGGUAUGGUGAAAAAGAAAGAGAAACGGAAGAAGAGAAGUCUCGGUGCGGUUGCUGGGCUACGGGCGGUUGCUGGGCUGCGGCGGAAGGAGAAAAUGGAAGGAAGAGAUCGGCGGAAAGAAGGAGAAGAUGGAUGGAGUCAGAUCGCACGGGGAAGAAGAAGGGAGAAAGAAAAGAAAAAGAAAAAGAAGAAAAAAAAAUAAUAAAGAAAUUUUAAUACUAAAGUAAAAUAAAAAUAUAUAUAUAUAAUAUAUAAUAUAUAUAUAUAUAUUUACCUUUCUUUGGGCAUUACAUUUUUUUUUUAAUUUUAGCAAAUAACAUUUUUUGCACGUGCAUAAUAUUUAUAAAAUACCAAAAUAUCCACAUUCUCCAACUAAAAUUAUUUUGUUUCUAUGUUGUAAUUAAUUUAUAUUAUGCAUUUAUCAACUUUUAAUUAUUUUUUACCUGAAAAAAGAUACAUAAACUCAUAUAUAUACUUUUUUCUUAAUAUCUCGGGACUCAACUAAUGGAUUCAAGACUUUAACUUUAUUUAAUCUUACUAAUUUCAAAAUAACCUAAUUGAAUUUGAAUUUCAAAAUAACCAAAUUGAAUUUCAACAUAACAAAAUUAUUAUUUUUCAAAUUUGAUAAUCUCAGAAAUAGAUUUUGUAUCAAAAUAACUUUAAUUGAAUUUCAAAAUUAAAAAAUAUCAACUUAUUCACUCUUUAUCUCACAAUAAUAUUAAUGGCUUGAAUAUCAAGAUAAUUAAAUUAUUGUUUUUAAAAUUGGGAGAAACUCAACAUUAAAAAAUAUCAACUUAUUCACACACAAUCACACGCGCACACACAUACAUACACUUGCACGCACGUGCACCCAUACACGCACACACACACGCGUGCACACACACACACACACACAAACGCACACAUGCACACGCACACCAAACCGCACGCACACAAAUACACACACACACGCACACUAAUGGUUCAAUUUCAUCGAUUGUUCCUAUUUUUCUGACAGUUUAUUUUUGCCAUCGAUAGAGGAUCUUCCGACAGACCUGCGUGACGGUGUGUGUUGACAGCUUAAUUUCGUUGGCAAAAGAAAAGUCGAUUAGUUUUUGAAGAUUUACUGACGAUAUUUGUCAUCGACAAAGGGUAAAUUUCUUGUAGUGCAUGUACAUCAAACAUAUCAAAUUUGUUAAGUGUACCAAUGAAGUAUAAGAAGUUUAUUAGUGGUGUAUCAAGCGUAUCAAACUUAUAAGUGAAGUCUUUAAGUGUAUCAAACUAAUCAAGUGUAUCAAGGUCUCAGGGUAUCAAGUGUAUCAAGAAGAAUCAAGUGUAACGAGAAGUAUUAUGUGGAACGAGAAGUAUUAUGUGUAUGAAGAUGUUUCAGGUGUGUAUCAAAAAGUAUCGAGUGUAUCAAUGAGUACCGAGUGCAUGAAUUGUAUCUAUCAAAUGUAUCAAGUGUAUCAGUAAGAAAUAUCAAGUGUAUCAAGCGGUAUUAGGUGUAUCAGACGUGUAUAAGGUGUAUCAAAUGUACAUCAAUAACGAGGGCAUUUGUGACAUUUUACCUCUUGAUGUGUGAGUUGGUCUUUGUUUUUGUCAUUUUCUCAAAUAAUAAAGUAUGUGUUCUAUGAACUUAAUUAUUAUAACUUACACUACUACAAAAACAGGCUCUCUUGACGUUUGCAGUUUUCCUUUCUUGACGUUUUUUUCAAAAAACGUCAAGAAAGAUUUCAUUUUUAAUAAAAAACGUCAAGAAAUUUUUUGAAACAUCAUUCUUGACGUUUAUUAAAUGUCAAGUAAAAUAAAUUUUUCUUUGACGUUUUUAAAACAUCAAGAAAUAUCUAUUAAUUUUUUGACGUUUUAAAACGUCAAGAAGCGUAUGAAUUCGACAUGCUUGACGUUUCUUAAACGUCAAGAAUUUAAAAUUUUACUCGACGUUUUAAAAACGUCAAGAAAUUCAUAAAAUAUUCAAGAAUAUUUUUUAAAUUACACUGAGAAGGUAUCGAAUUUUAAUUUUCAGCUCUAACAUUUUUCCUAAUCUACUUUUUUCUUCUUCACGACUGAGUAUUCGAGGGAGUCAUUUUUUGAAUUUGUUGACAUUUUUUAAACGUUAAGUAAGAUCAUUUUUUUUUUUACAUUUUAAAAAUGUCAAGUGUUAUUAAAUAAAUAUAAAAAAUAUAUUGGGCUAAUUUUAUUUCUUUAAAAUCUCUUUAAAUAUAUAGAUACAAUAAUAAAAAUCUCUUUAAAUAUAUAGAUACAACAAUAAAAAUUUCUUUAAAUAUAUAUAGAAAAAAAAUAUUGUACUAAUAUUAUUCAGAAUCACUUUAAAUAUAUAUAGAAAAAAUUAUUGUGCAAAUAUUAUUUUUUAAAAAGCCCUAGCCCCUUUCUACUCAAAACACGCGUGUUCCCCUUUCCCUCUCCAGCCGAAAUCCUUCCCAUUCGAAAAAAGUGUGUUCAGCAGUCGUCGUUCGCUUUCAACGCCUAUCCGUUCGCCUUCAACGUCUGUCCGUUCGAUUUCACCGUCGAGUUCCACCUCUUCGAAUCCCUCACGUCCGUCGUUUCAAAGUCCUUCGUCCGCUGCAUUCCAUCUUUCCAAAAUCCCUCAGUGCCUCACGCUACUGCGUGCCCGUCAUUUCGACUUCACCAACGAGUGCCUCACGUUCGUUGCUUCAAAAUCCAUCAUCCACUAAGUUGAGGUUAGGCUUUUAUUUCCCUAAAACAUAUAACAAUUUCAUUAUUCUUCAUUAUAUAAACUCAGAUGGCAUGAUUGGCAAUAAUAGAUAGGAAGGAUGGAGGUGUAAACUUCGAAUUGAUUGAAAUUCGUAUACUUUUAUUCAAUCUUUAAAGUACUGUAGUUUUUCUUCACCAUCAAAUUUUAUUAGGAUUUAAAGAAAACAAAUGAAUGUAUGAACAAAUUUUUGGGAGUGCAUGUCAUAUAAUCAACUUCCCUCUUUCAGUAAUUUUGAAGAUCUCAUAUAACAAUACUACUAAUUGAGAGCUUUGGAGGAUGAGUCAAUUCUUCUCCCUUCGUGAAAAGAAAAAGAAAAAAAGAUCAUGUAUUCUCUUUGUUUGUUACCUUAUGUUGUCCAAGGUUUUGCCUUCUUCCUUAAUAAUUUGGAGGUGUUUUAACUAAUUUUUUCAUUCACCCUCUUUUUGCCAUAGUUGCUUUUGUGUGCAGCUUGAGAUUUUUAAUUCAAUUGUGUGUUUUUACUUUUUUCUAUUGGGUGAAUUCUGUUUUGACUUUUUUUAAGCUAAAUAUAAUUAAUUGUUUCCUAUGGAACCAUAACCUUGAUCUUGGUUAUAGAUUUCAUUUUAAGGUAAAAGUAAAACACUCUUAUUUGAAUGAUUAUGUUGUAUUAUCCAUUGAAAGACUUGGUGUUGUAAUUGCCUUGUCUUCCUCAGGUAUUCUGUUGUAUGGUUGAUUACGAUCUUCAUGAUUGGAAUCUUUGUUUAGUGAAGCUCAUUUUGUUUGAUUUACUCAGUCGUGCAAUUGCUUUCUUUUUUAUGAUCACUUUAAAAAAGAAAUGAGUUUAGUUAGUUCUUUUAAUUUUCUUAAGUUUCAUUUGUAAUGCAUGAAAAUCUCUUAGCAGUAGAAACUGAAGACCAUAAUUGUAGAAGAUUUGUAUAGAUUGGAUUCACAUUCUCAACAUUGGUUAUACAGGCAUUACUUAUCAUUGUCCUUCCACUUUAAUUAUCAAUAGUGACAAUAACUUUAUUUCUCAUUAGAUUUACAAUGAUGGAUAAAUCUUGGAUGCACAAGAGUAGAUUGUCUAAAGAUUAUGAGUUGGGUGUGGAAAACUUCAUCAAAUUUGGAUUUUCUAAUACAACUAGCUCCUAUAUUCGUUGUCCUUGUUUGAAAUGUGGGAAUUGUGAAAAACAUAGUAGAAAGGGUGUUAGAGAUCACUUGUAUGUUAAUGGUAUUGAUGAAAGUUAUAAAUUUUGGUUUUGGCAUGGGGAAGAACUUCCUAACUCAUCCUUCUAUGAUGAAUCUUCAAAGUUUGACACCCAUACAUGUGAAGAUCAGGAUGUUGGAAGUGUAAAAGAAAUGAUUGAAGUUGCUCAUGAGGAGUAUUCAAAAGACCCAACUGGAUUUGAGAAGUUGCUUAUUGAUGCUGAAAAACCAUUGUACGAAGGAUGCAAAAAGUACACAAAGUUGUCUACUCUAGUCAAAUUGUAUAAUUUAAAAGUUAGGUAUGGAUAGAGUGAUACUAGUUUUUCAGAAUUACUUGAAACUUUGAAGGAAAUUCUGCCUAAUACCAAUGAGCUCCCGAAUUCAUUGUAUGAAGCAAAGAAAACAUUAGGUGCAUUAGGAAUGGAAUAUGAAAAGAUUCAUGCAUGCCCGAAUAAUUUUGUCUCUAUAGAAAAGAAUUUGCUAAUGCAAUUGAAUGUCAUGAAUGUUGUCAAUCAAGGUGGAAAAACGUCAAGGAUACAAAUGAAAGGAGAAAGCAAAUUCCCUCUAAAGUGAUAUGGUACUUUCCAAUCAUUCCACGAUUUAAAAGGCUAUUCAGAAGCAUUGAAUGUGCUGAAAACUUGACUUGGCAUUCUACUGAAAGAAUUAAUGAUGGUAAGUUACGACAUCCAGCCAGACUCUCCAGCAUGGAAGUUAGUAGACAUGAAAUGGCAAGACUUUGGUUCUGAACCCAUAAAUCUUCGUUUAGCAUUGUCAGCCGAUGGAGUAAAUCCUCAUGGUGACAUGAGUUCUAAAUACAGUUGUUGGCCGGUAGUGAUGGUUAUUUACAAUCUUCCACCAUGGUUGUGUAUGAAAAGAAAGUACAUGAUGCUAUCAAUGCUAAUUUCAGGACCAAAACAACCAGGGGAUGACAUAGGCAUAUACUUAGCACCACUAAUUGAAGAUUUAAAACUUUUAUGGGAAAGUGGUGUUGAAUGUUAUGAUGCUUAUCGAGAAGAACCAUUCAACUUAAGGUCAGUUUUGUUGUGGACAAUCAAUGAUUUUCCUGCAUAUGGUAACCUUAGUGGAUGUUGUGUGAAAGGGUAUAAAGCAUGCCCAAUUUGUGGAGAUAAUACAAAUUCUAUAAGGUUAAAGUAUGGGAAGAAAAUGGCAUACCUUGGACAUCGUAGAUUUUUGGCACGAAAUCAUCUGUAUCGACGACAAAAGAAGUCAUUCAAUGGUAAAAAAGAACUUGAUACAAUUCCAGAGCCACUUUAUGGGGAGGAUGUGUAUUUAAAAUUGAAAGAUCUUGAAUUUUCUAGAGGGAAGAAGAACCAUAAGAAACGGUUGAUGAACAGAAGUGACAAAAUUUGUUGGAAUAGAUUAUCUUCUUUUUUUGAGUUGCCAUACUGGAAGGAUCUUCAUGUUAGACAUUGUUUAGAUGUGAUGCACAUUGAAAAAAAUGUUUGCAUGAAUAUCUUAGGUACAUUUCUUGAUAUUCCUGGAAAAAGUAAGGAUGGAUUGAAUGCUAGACGCGAUUUAGUUGAUCUAAAACUUCGACCAGAGCUUGCCCCUAUCAGAAUAUGUUACUCCUACUAAUUACUUUCAUUAUGUAAAAAAGACAUCUAAACGUGAGGAUGAGAUUAUACUUGAGAAUAAAGAACUUCGAAGGCGUGUAAGCGAAUUAGAAGCACAUAACCACUCAAACUUGUCUAGACCAUUAUCUGGACAUGGUAGCUGUUCGAAGCCAAAUAUCUUAGAAGAGAGUGACUCGAUGAAAAUAAUCAAAGGGAAGAGUAAGUUGAUGGAUAAAAUCGAAGGGAAAGAGGUGGAGGAGAUCAAUGUAAAUGACGACAAAGUAGAGUUGGACAUCUUUAAGGUAUGUGAUCGAUCCUCUAAUAAACUCAAAUUCUUAAUAUUCAUAUCAUAUUGAAAGUGAAUGUUUUUCUUGAAUUAGGAGAGAGCCUUAAUAAAAAUGACUAAGGAAAAAGAGGUUGUCUGUGAAUCGACGUCAGUUUUGCCAAUGGGAAUGAAGUUGAUUCUCAUAUACGUUGAGAAGAUAAUGGAGAAAGAUUCUAGUAUCACUAUUCCACUACUGUUGGCAUUUUUGGUAUUAGUCGAAAGACUUCUGUUCUCCGAGAGGACAUCAUUGAUCUUUGUAACAUGAAUGAGGUCAAAACAUUUACAUUGGUGGCCUAUAUGACGUAAGUAUCAAUUUCAUUUCUUUAGAUCUAAAUUUAUGUAUCUCGUUUACAAGUUUAUAAUAUUUUGUAGGUACUUGUAUUCAUCUGUUCUUGGUUCGAAGGAAACUAUACAGUAUGUCUUUGUAGAUCCAUCCCUCACCUCUGUCGGACACUCGCAAGAAUCUCGAGUUCGACACUUAUGCAGUAGAUUGAUGGUCUCAAAGAUUAACGAAAUAGUUCUUGCUCCUUUUAAUCCUGGGUAAGUCAAGUUAUUUUAUUACUUGCAUUGCAAAAAACUAGUACUAAUAUUUUGUAUAAUUAGGGGUCAUUGGGCACUGCUGGCCAUAAAUGCAUAUGAUGAUAUAGUAUUUUACCUCGACUCACUAAGGACAACAUCGAAGUCAACUAUAAGAUACGUCACCGACACGUAAGUUAAUCUAGUAUUUCAUUUAGUGUUGAUUCUUAUAUGCAUGUACACAAUAUUUAAACUAUUUGUUCAAUCUUAUCUUGUCAAAACAGAGCAAUAGCGAUGUUUCAGUCACAAAAGAACAUUAAAAAAAGUAGAAAACAAACUUUAUGGCUAACAGUAAAGGUAAGUAUCAACUUUUAAAGUCAUUAAAUUUUUGUAGACUACUAGCAAUUAGGAUUACUUUGUUAUUCAAAUUUGUUGCUUUUAUAUAGUGUCCACUGCAAGGAAGUAUUGAGUGUGGAUACUAUGUGAUGAGGUAUAUGAGAGAAAUUGUGACUAGGGGAAGCAUUGUCAUAUCCGAUGCGGUAUGUUAUAUAUCAAACUAUUGGUUUUGUGAGUUAAUUGGUUUAUUUGUAUAGUCAGUUAAUUCAUUUAAUUUAUUUUGUAUGUUUAUUGAUUGAUACACGAAGAUCAUACUCACAGGCAGAACUACACGAGGUGCGAGUUGAGUUAGCUGACUUUUUGGGUUCUUACAUAUGAUUAUGACCAAUAUUUUGUGAUUCUGAAGUAGGAAAUUUUUUGUUGUGUCGCUUCUUUAUGACCCUAAACUUUAUGUAUAGAAACUUUAGCCGAUAAUUCUUUUGAAUUGUUCAUAUGGAGGAAGGGGGGAGGGGGGUUCAUUCGUAUAUAUUUUUAUUAUUGUUAUAGCUAGCAUGUUUUGUGACUUUUUAAGUUGAUUUGGAUUCAUGGCAAUGUAAUGCCAUAUGAAAUCUAAUGUAAAGCCUAUUUCAUUAUGUAUAUGUAAAGUCUUGGAAUUGAAUAUAUAUGGUGAAUGGUUUUAUUUAUAUAUGUUUGAGAUUUGAAACUAUAUUUGAUGAAUAUCAAAUAUCUAUGAAACUGUUGUGGACAAUUACAGGAUAAUUACAGGACAAUCAGAAUAUAUUUCUUUCCAUUACAGCAUAAUUCAAUUACAAUUUCUUUUUUUAAAAAAAAUUAAAAAAUGCUUGACGGUUUUAAAAUGUCACGAACAAUUGCAAGCUUGACGGUUUUAAACUGUCAUGAACAAUUGCAUUUUUACGGUUGACAAAUGUCAAAACAAUUACAUUCUUGACAGUUUUAAAAUGUCAUGAAUAGUAAAAUUCUUGACGGGUUUAAAAUGUCAUAAACCAGUUCAUCCUUGACGGCUUUAAAAUGUCAUAAACAAUACCAGUCCUGACGGUUCUAAAACGUCAUGAACAUAAGUAUAUUUGACGUUUAUAAAACGUCAACGUUCACUAUUCUUGACGUUUAAUCAACCGUCAAGAACUUUGCCUUUCUUGACGCUGGCUUCAACGACGUUUUUAAAACCGUCAAGAGAGCCGUCUCUUGAAGUUUAAAAACGUCAAGAGAGCCUGUUUUUGUAGUAGUGUUAUUUUGCCAUUUUCGCAAGUGUCCCUUAAUUGUAAUACAUGUAUAUGUGACAUAAUCUAAUCAAACUAACCAUAAAUGGACUUAAUGUAUCAGGUAUUAGGUGUAUCAGACGUGUAUAAGGUGUAUCAAAUGUACAUCAAUAACGAGGGCAUUUGUGACAUUUUACCUCUUGAUGUGUGAGCUGGUCUUUGUUUUUGUCACUUUCUCAAAUAAUAAAGUAUGUGUUCUAUGGACUUAAUUAUUAUAACUUAUUUUGCCAUUUUCGCAAGUGUCCCUUAAUUGUAAUACAUGUAUAUGUGACAUAAUCUAAUCAAACUAACUCAUAAAUGGACUUAAUCGAUCUCAUGGACCACGAAUUCUUCAAUUACUUGCAAAUUUGGUGAGUUCCUUCAAACAGUGGGCGAAGAGCUUAAUUUUGAGAGAGAGGAAAAGUCGUGAAGAGUAUAUGCGAGAGAGGGGGAACGUGCCAGAGAGCAUUUGCGAGAGAGCUAAAGACAGCGACGAUGUGGGAUGAAGUAAGGUUUUUUUCGGUCGUUGUUCACAGUGGGAUGAAAGCUUCGAAUUAUUUGUUUUAAAUCAAAAGGCGUAAUGAUUGAAGGAAAACAUUUAUUUUUUAUUAGGGUAAUUUUUAAUGACACAUAAUUUAUGUCAUUAAUUAACAAUGCGAAAAUUUUGUCAAGAAAACUCAAUUUGUGUCACGAAAAAUUUUGUAUUUUUAUUUUUAACGACACAUUUUAUUCCCUCAUGUCCCUUUUUCUUGAUUUCAAGUGUCAUUAAAACUUAUUGUUGAAUAAGAAAUUUUGAGACCAAUCACAAGUUGCCACAUCAUUUAUUAAGUUAAUGAUGAAAAGUACAAAUAAUUAAAUUUGGGACUAAUUAAAAUUGACAUAUGCUCCAAAUUAAAGAGUUGAAAAUAAAUAAAAUGGUCAUUCUAAUAAUGCCACAUGUUUUCAUAUUAAUAGUUGGAUUAAGUUAAUCAUUUUAGUUCAAUUAAAUAUUAUUUACUUGGACUAAGUUCAAUUAAGCCCAAAAAAUAAGCUUAAUUGAGCCCAAAGACUAAAUAUAACCUAAGUCCAUAUGGUUGAGCCCAUGCGUCUGGUCCAUGGACCAACUAGGUUCAAACCCAUAAAGCCCACCAGUGAACUCUAUAAAUAGAGGAAUUCUCCUCAUUUGUAGGGGUUGGAAAAUAUUGACUCUAGAAGAUCCAGAGAGAAUUCUUCAAAGAGCUAGAAGACUCCCUAACUCCUGAAGUUGACCAUCCUCGAAGAUUGAAGCUUCUUUAAAGAUACAAGCUUUCUUCCAAGGCUUCAACUUCAAGAACAUCACGUGCUUCGCUUCCUCCAAAUCAAGCUGAAGCAUCCAGUUGAGAGAGAAUCAGAGGAUCAAAUUCUAGAGAUUGAACCGCAUCGCAUCAAAUCAACAAAAAUACAACAUCAACUCAAGUUCAAGUCCACGAAUUAAAUUUCUCCAGAAAUCUCGUGCGAACAAAUUGGCACGCCCAGUGGGACCAUCUCUACCUCUCAUCUCUCUCUCAUCAUCUAGAUCUACAAGCAAAUCAAUGGCAUCAAAGAAAGUUGCAUCCAAAUCUUCAGCUGCAAGCGACACCUACACGGGACCUAUCACCUGUAGUCGUUCCAAGGGGAUCAUCCAAGGGCAAGACCAAGGUUCCGCCAUCGCGCAGAGCAUCCUGAAGCAAUUAAUGGAAUCUCCUAAAGCUGGAAUUGUCAUCAAGGAAAAUCCUCUAUAUAAUGAUUAUGAUUCUGCCUCUAGCAGGUCACUGAAAGAAGCACACCCAGAUGUGAUGUCCGUCAUGAUGGCUGAUGUAGCAGUCGAGACUGCCAUGGCGGAGAUGGAGAGAAAAUUAAUCUCCUGAUGAAGGUUGUUGAUGAACGAGACCACGAAAUUACAGCUUUAAAGGAGCAGAUGCAGACUCGUGAAACUCUGAAUCGAGUCAAACUUGUCGUUAAAGUUGAUGACAAAGGGAAGAACGUGGUACAAGAAAAUCAGCCACAACAACAAUCAACUUCUGUGGCUUCUCUCUCGGUUCAACAAUACAAGAUAUGAUCACAAACUCCAUCAGAGCACAAUAUGGAGGCCCAUCUCAGACUUCUUUCAUGUACUCUAAACCAUACACCAAAAGAAUCGACAACUUGAGAAUGCCGCUUGGAUAUCAGCCUCCAAAAUUCCAGCAGUUUGACGGAAAGGCAAUCCAAAACAGCACGUUGCUCACUUCGUCGAAACAUGUGAGAAUGCAGGAUCAAGAGGAGAUCAACUAGUCAGACAAUUUGUUCGAAGCUUGAAAGGAAAUGCUUUUGAAUGGUAUACUGAUCUGGAGCCAGAAAGCAUUGAGAGUUGGGAACAACUAGAAAAGGAGUUUCUCAAUCGCUUCUACAGCACCAGGCGUACUGUAAGCAUGAUGGAGCUUACAAAUACGAAACAAAGAAAGGGAGAACCAGUCAUCGACUACAUCAAUAGAUGGAGAGCUCUAAGUCUUGACUGUAAAGAUCGGCUCACCGAACUGUCGGCUGUAGAAAUGUGCACCCAAGGCAUGCACUGGGGACUCCUCUACAUUUUGCAGGGAAUAAAGCCCCGCACAUUUGAAGAACUGGCAACUCGAGCUCAUGAUAUGGAGUUGAGCAUCGCCAGUAGAGGAACUAAAGAUUUUCUUGUUCCUGAAGUAAAGAAAGAUAAGAAAGAGAUGAAAGGUGCUGAAAAGAUAGUGAAAAGCACCGCGAAAGAAUCUAUGGUCGUAAACACAACCCCGCUGAAAUUCUCCAAAGGAAAGGAAGCGAGGGUUGAAAAGAAGGAUGAUGGAAGCGAAAGGCGACGUCUGACUUUAAAAGAAAGGCAGGAAAAAGUUUACCCAUUUCCUGAUUCAGAUAUCGCUGACAUGCUAGAGCAACUACUAGAGAAGCAGCUGAUCCAGCUGCCAGAAUGUAAACGACCUGAGCAAGCAGGAAAGGUAGAUGAUCCCAAUUACUGCAAGUAUCAUCGGGUCAUCAGUCAUCCAGUAGAGAAAUGCUUCGUGCUGAAGGAGCUAAUUCUAAGGUUGGCUCGUGAGAAAAGGAUUGAGCUAGAUUUGGAGGAAGUAGCUCAAACAAACCACGCUGAAGUGACGAUAAUGUCUGAGGCUUCUUCGUCGAGAUUGAUUUUUGAGCAAAGGAAAAGCUUGGUCCAGUUCGGGACCUUUGAGCCUAUAGUUGUCCAAUUCUUUCAGGAAAUCUCAUACGAGGAUCCUCAAGGAGAGAAAAGACCAAUCGAAGAAGACGAUGAAGGGUGGAUAGUGGUGACCCACCGAAAGAAAAGACAGUCGAUCCCGACCCAAAGAGAGUCUCGCUCUUACCAAAACUAUAGAAGAGGAAAUAAGACUCAAAAGAAUAAGAAAAAGAAGAAGACUCAUAAGCUUAAGCUCGUACAUAAUGAAGACAUGAAUUUCUCUCGACCUCAACGCUUAGUGACCUUGCAGACUUCCUUCCAAAAAGCUUCCUUUGUGAUCAUCAGGAUGAAGACCCAGAAGUCGUUGCGUGUCAUGCUAUCAACACAACGGAGGAAGAAAUAAUCCCUCCAAGAUCACUAGAAGGAGAGGGAGUAUCAAAAGACCUUUCAAGGUUUAAUGUAGAGGAUCUAUUAUCACUUCCUCAAGAGACCAAAACCAUCCUUAUUGAUGCAUUGCUAAAUUCAAGAGCAUCAAGUUCGAGUACUCCGACUAUGACAUAUGAGAGUGGUUCUUAUUGUAUGUCUAUAGACUUCUCAGAUGAGGAUUUGUUGUUGGGAUCUAAACUUCAUAAUAGACCUUUGUAUGUUUCUGGAUACGUUCGAGAACAGAGAGUCGAUCGAAUCCUCAUUGAUAAUGGCUCAGCUGUCAACAUAAUGCCAAAGUCGACUAUGUGGCAAUUAGGCAUCUUGAUGGACGAGCUCUCAAAUAGCAAGCUAGUAAUUCAAGGUUUUAACCAAGGUAGCCAAAGAGCAAUAGGCAUGAUACGGUUAGAACUCAUAAUUGGCGACCUAAAGGCCAGUGCAUUGUUUCAUGUCAUAGACUCAAGGACUACUUACAAGUUGUUACUAGGGCGUCCUUGGAUUCAUGGAAACGGAGUAGUAACUUCAACACUGCAUCAGUGCUUCAAAUUUUAUCAGGACGGUGUAAAGAAGGUUGAAGCCGACUCUAAUCCAUUCUCAGAAGCUGAGUCUCACUUCGCAGAUGCAAAGUUUUAUUCAAAGAAUAAUAAUAUUUUAGAAGUUUUGCCUGCAGAAACCCCUCUUACAAAAGGAGAAGAUAAUUCACAACUGAAAUCACUCGCAACCACAGAACCACAUGAAAGUGCGAGAACCUUUAACUCUGGAAAGGGUGAAGCAUACACUAGCAGCACAAAGGGUAUGAUCUUGAAGGAUGAAAAUGCUGCAAACACACCAGUUUUGCGUUAUGUCCCUCUGUCAAGGCGCAAGAAAGGCGAAUCACCAUUCAUGGAGUCUCCAAAAGGUUUGAAAGUUGGUGACAUCGAAAUCAUAAAAGAAAGCUUCACUACACCACUAACUAAGAUAGCGAAGCAGGAGGUAAAGGUAGAUCUGGUGGAAGCAAACUUGCCCCAAAGGCGAACGAAAGACGGAUUCGACCCCAAGGCUUACAAAUUGAUGGCGAAAGCAGGUUAUGACUUCACAGCUCACACCGAGUUUAAAAGCUUGGAAAUUCAUGACCGACCUGAGCUCUCCUCAACUCAAAAGAAGCUUCUACGGAAGGACAUUCUAUACCCGUGUCGAGAAAAGGACUCGGAUACAAGUCGCCAGAACCGAUCCGUAUAACUAAAAAGGGAAGGAAAAAGUGGUUGACAUCAAUCAUAUAACUAUAGAGGAUGACAAUACUGACGUAAAAGAAGGUGAUAAUCAGAGAAUCUCAGUAUUUGAUCGAAUUAGACCAUCUGUUGCACGUCCCGUAGUAUUUGAAAGGCUAAGCAUGACAGAGGCAGAAAGAGAAAGGCUCCAGUCAGUACCAAACCUUGAGAGACAUUCGGUCUUUCGAAGGCUAACUACGACUCCCAUAAAGGAAGAAAGCACAUGCCAUGCCUUGACAACUACAAGACCAUCAGCCUUUGAAAGGCUAGGUGUGUCUAAAAAAAAAAUGUACAAGCACCCCGUGCUCCGAUUUUUAAUCAUCUCGGGGAUAAAGGAUCACACGACAACAUUGAUUCCAACAUAGCAAAGAAGAAGGAACCAAUGUCUCGUGUGAAAGUUUGGCGUCGAAUUAAGCAUACAGAUGUCGAUAAUUAUCGUAGUAAGAAGUUUCCUUGCGAGACAAAGGAAAAUGGAGAAAUUCAUAGCAACGUUCCUUCUCGCAUGAAAAGAAAAACUUUUGUUACUCUCAAUACAAGUCAAGGUUCGUUAAAGGUAAAAAGACAUGAUGUUAUACUAACGAAUCCUGAAAAAGAAGGGUCGGAACAAGGGGAAGGUGAAACUUCAUGUCAUCACAUCACCAUUAUUGAGGAAUCAGAGACUGGAACUCAUGAAGAAGACGCAGAAAAUGCCCCACAAAGUUUAGAGGAUGGUGGUCAAUCUACUGUAGACGAGCUAAAAGAGGUGAACCUUGGUACAAUAGAGGAACCACGUCCGACUUUCAUUAGUGCGUCCCUCUCUAACGAAGAGGUGGAUAAAUAUAUGAGUUUGCUCACCGAAUACAGGGACAUCUUUGCGUGGUCGUACAAGGAGAUGCCAGGACUUGACCCAAAAGUAGCAGUCCAUCAUCUUGCAAUUAAACCGGAUAUCGACCGAUUAAACAAGCACAACGACGUUUUCGACCGGAGCUUAUCCCUCAAAUCGAGGUGGAAGUCAACAAGUUGAUCGAAGCAGGAUUCAUUCGCGAGGUCAAAUAUCCAACGUGGAUAGCAAACAUUGUCCCUGUUAGAAAAAAAAAUGGACAACUUCGCGUUUGUGUAGACUUUCGCGAUCUGAAUAAUGCAUGCCCUAAAGAUGAUUUUCCCUUGCCCAUCACCGAAAUCAUGGUUGAUGCAACUACUGGACACGAGGCGUUGUCGUUUAUGGAUGGGUCGUCUGGAUAUAAUCAAAUACGGAUGGCCCUCUCAGAUGAAGAAAUGACAGCUUUCAGAACUCCAAAGGGAAUAUACUGUUACAAGGUGAUGCCCUUUGGAUUGAAAAAUGCCGCGCUACUUAUCAACGUGCCAUGCAGAAAGUGUUUGAUGAUAUGUUGCACAGGUAUGUUGAAUGUUAUGUUGAUGAUCUUGUAGUCAAAACAAAGAGACGACAAGACCAUUUGAAGGAUCUAAAAGUCGUGUUUGAUCGCUUGCGAAAAUAUCAGCUAAGGAUGAACCCUCUCAAGUGUGCGUUUGGUGUAACUUCAGGAAAAUUUCUUGGCUUCAUUGUAAGGCAUCGAGGGAUCGAAAAUAGACCAGUCCAAGAUUGAUGCCAUUCAGAAGAUGUCAAGACCUAAAAGUUUGCAUGACCUAAGAAGUCUCCAAGGACGACUGGCUUACAUCCGAAGGUUCAUCUCUAACUUGGCCGGUCGGUGUCAACCUUUUCAAAAGUUGAUGAGAAAAGGAGAAAAUUUUGUGUGGGAUGAAGCUUGUCAGAACGCUUUUGAUAGCAUAAAGAAAUACUUGCUUACUCCCCCAGUGCUGGGAGCUCCAGUACCUGACAAACCACUAAUAUUGUACAUUGCUGCACAAGAAAGGUCCUUAGGAGCAUUACUGGCACAAGAAGAGGUAAAGGGAAAGGAGCGUUCUCUCUACUAUCUAAGCAGAACAUUAAUUGGGGCUGAAGUUAACUAUUCUCCUAUCGAAAAGAUGUGUCUUGCACUUUUCUUUGCCAUUGAUAAGUUGAGGCAUUAUAUGCAGGCCUUCACGGUUCAUCUAGUGGCAAAAGCAGACCCUAUAAAGUAUGUUCUAUCCAGGCCAAUCAUCGCUGGACGCUUAGCCAAAUGGGCGGUUCUACUCCAACAAUAUGACAUUGUCUAUAUUCCCCAAAAGGCGAUAAAAGGACAAGCGCUAGCAGACUUUUUAGCAGACCACCCAAUUCCUUCGGAUUGGAAGUUAUGUGAUGACCUACCAGACGAUGAGGUUUUCUUCACAGAAGUUAUGGAACCUUGGACUAUGUACUUCGAUGGUGCAGCUCGAAGAAGUGGUGCGGGGGCAGGCAUUGUCCUCAUUUCUCCUGAGAAGCAUAUGUUGCCUUAUAGCUUUGCACUUUCCGAAUUGUGUUCAAACAAUGUGGCUGAAUAUCAGGCUUUGAUAAUUGGCCUUCAAAUAGCAUUAGAAAUCGGAGUGUCAUUCAUAGAGGUCUAUGGUGAUUCAAAAUUGAUAAUCAAUCAACUCUCGCUUCAAUAUGACGUGAAACAUGAAGACUUGAAGCCAUAUUUUGCUUAUGCUCGACAAUUGAUGGAAAAGUUUGAUAAUGUGAUGUUAGAACAUGUCCCUAGAGUAGAAAAUAAGAGAGCGGAUGCAUUGGCAAAUUUAGCCACGGCCUUGACCAUGCCAGAUGAUGUAACUCUGAACAUACCACUUUGUCAACGAUGGAUUAUACCCCCAGUUAGGCCUGAAUGUCAGGAAGUGAACAUGGCAACAUCCUAUUUGAUUGAUGAAGAAGAUUGGCGUCAACCCAUCAUAGAGUAUCUUGAACAUGGAAAGCUUCCAAAGGAUUCUCGUCAUAAAAUUGAGAUACGAAGAAGGGCAGCACACUUCAUUUAUUACAAGGGAACUUUAUAUCGCCGUUUUCUUGAAGGGCUCUUCCUUCGAUGUCUCGGAAAGGAAGAUUCGGUAAAAGCUCUAAAGGAAGUACAUGCAGGUGUUUGUGGAGCACAUCAAUCGGGACCAAAGCUUCAAUUCCAGCUAAGAAGAAUGGGCUACUACUGGCCUAAGAUGAUCCAAGAUUCAAUAGACUAUGUGAAGAAGUGUGAGCCUUGUCAAUACCAUGCAAACUUCAUACACCAACCUCCAGAACCUCUUCAUCCAACUGUGGCUUCUUGGCCUUUUGAGGCUUGGGGACUCGAUCUGGUUGGCCCCAUUACACCAAAAUCAUCAGCAGGACAUUCUUAUAUCCUAGCAGCAACAGACUAUUUUUCAAGGUGGGCUGAGGCCAUUUCAUUGAGAGAAGCCAAGAAGGAGAACGUGGCAGACUUUAUUCGAACACACAUCAUCUAUCGAUACGGUAUUCCACAUCGAAUCGUGACGGAUAAUGGAAAGCAAUUCUCCAAUAGUAUGAUGGACAAGUUAUGUGAAAAAUUCAAAUUCAAGCAAUAUAAGUCAUCCAUGUACAACGCAGCUGCGAAUGGACUAGCAGAAGCAUUCAACAAAACAUUGUGUAAUCUUUUAAAGAAAAUUGUCUCCAAGUCAAAGAGGGAUUGGCAAGAAAAGAUCGGCGAGGCAUUAUGGGCUUAUCGGACGACUCAUCGCACCCCUACAGGGGUUACACCAUAUUCGCUUAUUUACGGUGUGGAGGCUGUCCUUCCUCUCGAAAGGGAAAUUCCGUCACUAAGAAUGGCAGUACAAGAGGGAUUGACUACCGAAGAUAAUGUGAAGUUACGUCUUCAAGAAUUAGAAGCACUUGACGAAAAGCGAUUAGAGGCUCAGCAAGCAUUGGAAUGUUAUCAAGCGAGAAUGUCCAAAGCUUUUGAUAAACACGUUAAACCUCGCUCCUUUCAAGUCGGUGAUCUAGUACUUGCCGUAAGGAGACCGAUCAUCACAACAAGGCAUACAGGAAAUAAGUUCACACCUAAAUGGGAUGGACCUUACAUUGUUAAAGAAGUUUAUACAAAUGGCGCAUACAAGAUCGUUGAUCAAGACGGACUACGAAUUGGCCCAAUCAAUGGUAAAUUUCUUAAAAAAUUUAUGCUUAAUUUUGUUAGGUAAAAAAAAAAAAAAAAAAGUUGAACUACGUUAUGACUUGAUCCCUAUAUUAUAAAGGGUACGUAGGCAGCUUAAGGAAAACCUUAAGCCCAGUCCAGCAAAAAAAAAGUUGAACUACGUUAUGACUUGAUCCCUAUAUUAUAAAGGGUACGUAGGCAGCUUAAAGAAAACCUUAAGCCCAGUCCAGCAAAAAAAAAAAGUUGAACUAUGUUAUGACUUGAUCCCUAUAUUAUAAAAGGCAGCUUAAAGGAAACUUUAAGUUCAGUCCAAUAAAAAAAAAAGGAAGAAAGACAAAUUACAUUUAAUAGAAAAUAUGAUGAGGAGUGGAACAAUGAAAGAAUAAUUUUUUUUUUAUUAUUAUUAUAAACUUCUAGCAAAAAAAAAUUAAAAAGGCAUAAGUAGAUAAAUAAGAGAAAGCAGAGAAUCAUGGAGUCCAUUUAAAGUUCUUCAGCUCCUCUAGUGUGCUUUCUAAAGAUUCACGAAGUGUUGAUAGCAUUUUAGCAUCAAUAUCUCCAACGAUCGGGGCACAUUCGAGUUUGUCAAUUUCCUCACAAGUCUUCGAAAUCUCAUGUUGCUUCUGCUUCAGCUCCAGGUCGUUCUUAAAAAUUAUUCCAGAAAGUUUAGCAGACUCAACCCGCACCAUCUUUAGUUUUGCCUCUAGUUUAGCCUCCUUAGCGGACAGUCGUGUAAGACGACGUUUAGCAGUGUUGGUCUCUGCUAAUAUACGAUUCUCAUCAACUCGCAGAGUCUUCACAAAACCUUUUGCCUCCGUUAGCUGAACAUCCUUAGUUGAUUGGAGUGGAAAUGAGGAAUGUAUUUGAUUAUGGUUCUCGACACCUUGGAAGUAACCAUUCACAAGCUCCCUCAAAACAAUAAGGUUGUCGCUGCCGUUAGUCGCAAUCGCAUCAAAGAUCUUAUGCAUUUCUGGUUCAAGACUACUCAGUCGUUCAAAAGGGGUACGAAUGAUCUUCUGUCGUAGGUUUUCCCAUAAGGUUAUGGCAGCCUGUCGUCGGAGGUCAGAAAUUAAGCUGUCAGCACAAAAAUGAGAAAUCUCAGAAACUGUAAUAGGCUCUGUGCCUUCCACUUUUUGAGGAGGUCCCUUGAUCACAGGAGGACAAGCAGACACAAUAUUUGCGCCUAUAGGUUCCUUAGAGUUCCCAUUAUAAGAAAGUACAACGUUACAGUCUUCUAGAUUCAGCAUCAACUCUAGGGUAUCUUCGAUGUGUAGGUCAUGAUCACCUAAAGAAUACUACAAAAUAAUAUUAACAACAAGAAAUAAGGGGAGUAAAGGAGAGAAAAUACAAUCAAUAAAUAAAUAAAAUUGGGAGACGA